AGUUUUCACCUUAAAGCUAUAUUUUUUAUCAAUAAAGAAUUCAAAAAAUUUAAGGACAUUGUUCUUUAAUCCAAGUGUCCAUCUUUGAUUAGAAUAGACUUUCAGGGAAUGUAAUGUAGGUCAAAGUUUGAGGUUCUAAAAAAAAAAGAUAAAUAAGCUCAAAAUAUGUUAUUCAGGGUAAUUAGGCCAAGGAUCCUAAGAAGCAUUCUCUGGCGUUCUUUCUUUGGCUUUCUUUUUUUAAAAAAAAAAAAAUAUCUAGCUUUAGAUUCAACAAUUUUAUUCACUUUUUUUUGCCCUAAAUUCUUAUUUUCAAGGUACAUGCUCUUUUUUUUUUUUUGCUUUUUUUGUUUUUUUUUUGUUUUUUUUAAUUCUAACUAAAGCUUCAGAUUCUUAUCUCUAAGGUUUAUUUAUUUUUCCUUGAAAAUGCCUAACUUCAUCUUUGGUUGUUCUCUCUCUUGAAUUCUUGAGAUUCUAAUUGAAGCAUUAUUCACUUUUUGUCCCGAACUUUCAUCUUUGAAAGGCAUGUUAGACGCUUUCAAUAUUGGAUACUUUUUUUGAAAUUGAUCUUGAAUAUAUCCUUAUUUUGCCCUCAAUUUAAAUGAUGAUCCUUGGCUAGGGUUUAUUUUGGAAUAAAAAUUUAGUAGGCUCAAAUGAAUAGCAAAUGAAUAAUUUUUAUGUACGAGAAGGAUAGAGAAAGAUGGACAUUCAUUAUUUCAACAUGAUCACUUGGUUAGAAGAGCAAAUAAUUGAAGAUGUCUUUUUGGUUUUUUUGUUUUUUUUUAUGUUUUUUUACCUUUUUUUUGCUUUUUUUAUUUUUUUUUAUGAUGCCCCAUUUUGUUUUCCACUCAAGGUUCUAAUGAUGAUCAAGUCGUAUAGGAUCGAUCACAUAUUUCAAAAAGGCUCUUUAGGCUCUAAUUUUUUUAUUUUCUUGGUGAACGAAAGAGAAAAAGUAUAAAGGUAUGAAACAAAUUGUCCUAGGCAAAAAAAGAGUAUUUUUUUAAUCAAUGUGCUUUAAGACACGAAAUAAGGGUUACUUAAAAAAUAAGGUUUAGGUAUUUUUAUGUCUAUGGUUAUAGCAAAAUUUUGACACACAUUGAAUUAUCAAUUAAAAAUUUGAAAGCGUAUUUGAUUUUUGAAAUUCAAAAUGAACUUUCAAAAUUAACCUCUUUCAUUUUUUGCCCAAGAAAAGUUAUAGAACCUUUAAAAUAUGAAUUCAAACUCACAAUCCUUAAAGGGUUAUGGUUGAUAAGUCCAAUCAUUUAAGUGAUUAGAGGCAUAAAAGUAUUUGAAAAGGUGUGAAGGUAAUUUAUGCACUUUUUCCUAAUAGUAAUCACAAUUUCUUUCAAGAAUCCUUUCAUUUUUAUUACAAAAGAAAACCCAUUUUUCUUUUUUUCCUCUUUUUUUUUGUUUUUUGGUUUUUUUUUUUUUUAAGUUACUUAUAUGGGAUUUUUUAUUCAAACAAAUGCAUGAGAAAUUUUCAUGAAAAAGAUCCAAAGUAUUCAAUUCUUCCAAAAUAAGUUAAAUAACUCAUAGGAACACCAUGCAUAUGUCAUACAUAAAUAGUAAAAAGAUUCAAAAAAAAAUUAUCUUAUCUUAAUUUUUCAAAACUCGAGACCUCUUUCUUCAUCUCAACUCCACAUAUUUGGUAAUUGAAUGGGGUUAACUUUUGAAGUCAGAAUACCACUCUUGAUAAGAUCUUCAACCUUUUUUCAGCUGUCUGUAUUUUUCAGUUGAAUGACCAAUUGCCUUCAUAUGACAAUCACAUUUGCUAUUAGGAUCAUAACUUUUUACUGAUAGAUUUAGUGUUAUUUUUAAAGGCACAUAAAUGAGAUACCAACCUUCUAUUAGUAAAGGUAAGAGGUGAGAAACAAGGAUUAACAGUUUUUCUCAAUCACUCUUUCGUUUCUUUCGACUUUUGUUAGUUAGAUGUUAGGUUCAAAUAUAAGGACAAAAUCAUGAAUAAUCAUUUAAGGAUGAAAAUUUGCUAAAAAACCCCAAAUGCUGGCUUGGUUGGCAAAAAUAUGGGUUCUGAGAUAUACCACCUAUGACAAGGUGACGAGGCUGAUGAGAUGGAUAUAGAUUGUACAAGGUAAAACUAUUGGGUAGAUGCCCUUCCAUUAUGACUGCUUGCACCUUUCUUUCAUUCUUUUUUUAUAUACUUCUUUUUUCAACAUCUGUCAUGUCUUUUAAUUUAAUCAUGCCAUUCUUUAUUGUAUUUUUUAUAAUUUUUCCAGAAAUCACCAUGUCAGGAAAAGUUUUUGGAGACAUCCCAAUCAUUUUUUCAUAAUAGGGAGCGUUCAAAGAAUUGACAAACAAAACAACGAUUUUUUUCUCUAACAAGGGUGGUUGUACUUGGGCUGCUAUGUCUCUUUAUCUAUGUGCAUAUUUUUUGAAAGUUUUAGUUGACUUUUUCUUCAUGUUCUGUAGGGAUAACCUAUCUGGCACUAUAUCUUUAACAUGCUUAUAUUAUGCUAGAAAAUCUCUAGCCAAAUCAUUCUAAAAGCAAAUCUUAUUUUGAUCUAACUAAGUAUACCAUCUUACUACAGACCUAGUGAAACUAUCUUAAAAGUAAUGGAUCAAUAACUUAUCAUUAUGGGUGUGACCUAUCAUCUUUCAAUAGUACAUAGUAAUGUAUGUUAAAGGGCAUUUUAUCCUAUCAUACUUCUCAAAAUCUGGGGCUUUAAACUUUAUCGAAAUAACAAGAUCAGGUACUAAAGUAAGCUCAUUAGCAUUAACACUCAGGUACAUAUCAUGGCCUUCAACUACUUUCAGUCUUUUUUUUCACAAAUCAUAUUUAUCCUUCAUUAUUGUAUCUCUUGAUGGAUCUGACAUCUUUUUUAAUUUCUUUAAUUCUUUAAGAUCAUCCACAUUAGGCACAGCAAUGGAGUCGUAACGAGUAGGCUUGAGAUUAACAUUUGUCUAAACUAAUGACAACUUGGCAAAAGGGCAAGUAUAGGGUUGAUGAGUUGUUAGAUGUGCUUAUGGUAUAUGGUGGUCUUGAACAUAUAUGAACUCAAAUGGAUAUAAUGUUGUCUCAAUAACUGUUUCCUCAUUUGCCCCAUGUGUUUCAACAAUUCAUUUUUCUUAUGUCAACUCUACUAACAUUUGUUUUAAUUCUACCAACUGUUUGUCCAUGUUCUGUUGCAUUCCUGUGACUAUUUCUUUGAUCUCUCUUUGGGCAUUUUCUACUCUAUCCAUCUGACUUGCAUUUUUAUUUUUCAUGAUUCUAAUACUGGCUUGAGUGCUAUAAAUACGCAGACUUAAUCGAUCUUAUUUCUUAGGAUAGUUAUCUUUGAACAUUUUAUUAAUUACCAGAAGUCAAAAAUGUAUGGUAUGAAUUCUAUUAUAAAUUUUUUUUUUUUUUUGCUUCAAAGGUUUGACGAAAGUAUAUUUACAAUUACCAUUCAUUAUCCUUAGCUAGCAUGAAAAGCAAUGAAUUCAAACAAAUGAUGCAUGAUAUGCAAGUUAGAUUUUGUUAUUAUUAUUGAAGGGAAACUUAAGCUCUAUCCUAUAUUCAGGGUGGGUUAUCUAAAGAUAUUUCUUCCACCUCAAAAAUUUGGUAAAGGCAUAUUUGCAACUAUCAUUCUUUCUCACACUCUUUUAGGCACACCAUUAUUAAAAAAAAAAAAAAAAGGCAUCAAUUCAUAGAAAGUUCAGGUUAAAAAAGUUUUCAUUCAUUCUCAAAAGUUUCAAGUUUACACAUUAUGAACCAUUCUAUGGUUAAGGUCAAAAAGUGUAAGAUCCGCUCUCACUCCCUAUUGUCUCAUCUAAAAAAUCCAAAAAUAGCUUAUUAUGAUUGCUGAAAAAGAUAACCCUUUUAUUUAAAACUUUUACAUUUUAUUCAUCAUCAAGGCUAACCUUACUGUUGCUUGUAGCACUGUCUACUAUCUUGGCAUAGAUCAAUGAAAGGUUCUUAUGAAUAACUGGCUUCAUUUUAACGUCAAAACCUAAAUAUCUAACUUUUAUCAGUCCAUGUACCUUAUGUUUCAAAGCUAUGCAAUCUUUCAGAGCAUGGCCCAUAACACCAAGAUGGUAUUCACAUUAAGUACUGGGGUAAUACCAUUUGAGAAAAGGUCGUUUGCAAGGUUCAGAAAGGAUAAAGACAAUGAGAUAAUUUUUUAAGAGUAAUGGGUAUAACUUUAUGUAGAACAUAGGUAUUGGAUCAACAAGGGUUUUUUUUUUAUGUUGUCAGAGUUUUUUUAUCUUAUGGUUGGUUUGCUUUGCUGAAAAAAUAGUAGUAAAUUUGGUCUUGAAGUGAAUUGAAAAACUAUAGGUCGAAUAUUAUGCUAUGAAAGUGGUGAUAGGAUAACAUGUUGAACAAACGAUUAUGAAAUAUAAGGUGGUAGAAAUGGCUUUAAGUGUGAAAUUCUCAGAGGUUACAUAAAAUUUAAGGGCCUAAUCCUAGGUGCUUGGAAAGGAGGUUGAAAGUGGUCAUGAGAAUGACUUAAAUGUGGGUUUGGACUCGAGAUAACUGGUGAGGGUUGGUUGAAGUUAGGUGACUCCUUCUUGAAAAUUAAACUUUUGAGCUCAAUCAUUUGCAUGACUGUUUCACCCAUUCCUCUCUUAAGUUCGCCUAAACUUUUAUUACUGUUCAAAUCACCCAAUGCCUUAAUAUGCUCUGGAAAAAUGCUGGAGCUAAUAGGAGCCGGUUGGUUUUGGCUUAAUGGAAUCAAAAGUGACAACAAUCCUUGAAGAGCAACAAACCUAACCCCACCACUAUCUUUAACCAUUUCUAUCAAUUAAGUCAUCUGUUGUUUUAUUUUUCAAAGCUUAAGCCAUAAUUCCUCUUGAUUCAACUCCAAAACACUAAUAUUUACUUUCAAUUGAUCUCUCAUUUUCGUCACCACUAAGAUAGACAUUUUAUUUCAGGACUUAAACCAAAAAUUCUAGAUUAUUACCCUUAUUGAAUGAAUACUACAAAAACAAUUUCUAAAUUAUAUGACACACAAAGUAUGAUUAUGAAUUCAUGAAUAUGAUGACUAAAAAAUGUCAUGAAAUGCAUAUAUGCCUAUGAUAAUAGAUUUUUAUAUGUACAAAGACCCAAAUGAAAAUUUUUGUUAACCAUGAAUAUGUAUGCAAGGAAUGUAAUGUUAUGUUAUAGGGAUGGUGGGCUAUGAAAUGUAAUGUAUGUUCCAUAAGACCUUACUAUUCAUGAACCCAUAUGCAUGAAAUGCAAUAACAUACUUACAUGAAGAAUAAUAUGUAUACUUAUGACUAAUGCAACAUACUUGUAUGGAAUGCAUGAACCUAUCAAAUGCACAUUAUAUUUUUCAUGGAAUGCAAUGCUUGUGUUAUGCCAACCUAAUGAAACUGACACUACUUUUAAAUAUAUAAUGAAAUGGAAUGUGGGCACUACCUAUUAAAAUGUGUAUGGAAGGUAUAUACUAUUUAUCAACAUGUGCAUAACAUGAGAUGCAUGUACUAUCCAUUGAUAUGGAUAAGAUGCAAUGCAUGUAUUAUCUUAUUAUCAUGAUAAUGGGAUGGGGUACAUCAAAGACCAAAUGAAAAUGUGAAAAAUGAAAAAAAAAAAAUUGAGAAUGAAAAACACCUUUUUGACACAGAAUAACUAGGACUUGAAAAUUAAUCUUUAUUUGGCCAAUAAACAAAGAAUUUGAAAAAACCCUUUAAUCUUUGAAAAUGUUUUAUUGCCUUUCUUUUUUUUUUUUUUUUUUGCUUGUAGGAUAAUGCUAAAAAUAAUUCAUUUUAUUCUAAAAUAUUUUAUGAAAAUUUAAAUUUUGGAUAAUUACCAAAGGAAUGAAAUACAUGUCCAAAGAAAAAAAAAAUCUUUAAGAAAGUGUUUUUCUCUUAUUUCUACAAGAGAGUAAUGCUCUGUCGAAUACUGGUCCCCUAAGGUUUACUAUAUGCUAAGUGAGGAUUUGUUUAUCUAAAAGUUUUCAAAUUGUUCCUCACUGACGUCCAUACUGGACUAGUAAGACACCCAGAUCCUCACCCAUUACAGGCUAUGAACGAAAAGUGUUCAAUUUAAGUAAAAGUUUUUCACUAGCAAAUACAGAGGUUAUCACCUCACGAGAGCGUAGCUACUUCACUUCCUUCUAAAAAGAUGAAGCCCGGAUCUAAAGCUCAUGCAUACAAGUGAAUAUACAAGGUGUGUGCAAAGUAAUGUAUUCAUUAAAAUAACAUAAAUAAAAUCCUAAACACAUAAUCAAAAUAAAAUAAUAACUAACAUACAAUUUAUUUUAUUUAUUAACUUGUAUGUAUAUAUAUUUUGAAAAAUAAAGGGAAUUAAAUUAAAUAUCAAAUAAAACCAAUUAAAUUCAACAACUAUUAAUAGCGCAUAAUUAAAAUUUUAGCCUGACUCUCAAAGAUCCCUAGUAGAGUCGCCAAGCUGUCGUAAAAGUUUUGAGACUGUCAAACAUAAAAGAUUUUAAAAUAAAAAAAAUGAAAGAGUCGCCAUCAAUCUUUUUUAGGCUGUGAUUGAUCACCAAAAAAAAAGUUUUUUAAUAAAACUAUAAAAAUGGGUUUAAAGUUUAUCAAAAAGAUAAAUUUUGAUCCAAGAAAAUCAGGUUGGAUCCAAGAAUCGAUUACGUGCGGAGAAGGAUUAGCACCCUCACAACGCCCAUGAAUUGGUACCAAUUAAUCAUACGUUAUUUUCGGUAUUGGAUGAAAUGGUUUCGAUUUGAAAUUUAAUACUAAUUUUCUUCAUUUAAAAAACUAUUUUUUGCUAAAAUUUUUUAUUUAGAAAUAUUGAGAAAAUCUUGAAGUUAAAAAAUUAUUUUAAAAUUCUCCAACAUCUAAGCAUAAUUUAAGAUAACUCUUUUCACUUGAGAUUUAAUACAAUAUCUCUUAAAAUGAAAAUAACACUCCUCACAAGAAAUGAUUGUUGGUGACUUUCCAAUAUUUAGGUAGCACCAAGAAUUAUUUCCUUUAGAAUGUCAUUUUUAUUUUAUUUUAUAAUAUCACAAUUUUAAAAGUAAAGAAAAAACAUUUUGUGUGAAAAAGUAAAUUAUGGUAUUAUCAUAUAGUAAGCAAAAAUUAAAGACAAACAAAUGCAAACAAUAACAAAUAAAUGCAUGUGAGCCAAUAGAUGGUGCGUAUGAUAAUGGAAUGCAAAUUUGAAAUUGAAUUAUUAAAUAUAAUGAGACCACUUUGACUCUCCAACAUCUAGGGGAAGCUUAGGUGUAAUUAUUCAUAUUUAAGAUCUCAUUUUUUUAGUAUAUUUUUAUUAUUAAUUAAUUAUUAAUCCCAUGGUUAAAGCAAAUUAAGGACUAGCAUGAAAACUUGAUGAAAUAAAGUUUCUUAAAUACCCCAUCAUCUAUGUGGUAUUUGAGAACAAAUUAUUUCGAGUGAAAUUUUUAUACAUGUCCUUAAGAUUUUAUAAUGGUCUUGGUUAGAGCUUAGGUCGAGGUUUUAAAGGAUAAGGUUUCAGAUUUUGAAUAUUUGAAUUUUGGGUAUUAGUUCGAGUUUUAGGUGUUUUAGGGCUUAAAUUUUAGGGUUUGGAAAGUUUAGGUUUUGAUUUAGGGUUUGGAAAUUAGGUUUUUUAUUUUUGGGUUUGGAGGGUUUAAGGUUUCGAUUUUAGAGUUUUGAGGUUUUAAGAUUUCGAUUUUAAGGUUUGAGGUUUGAGGUUUCAAUUUUAGGGUUUGAGGUUUUAGGGUUUAGUACUUUGAUUUUAGGGUUUAAUAUUUCAUUUUUAGGGUUUGAAGGGUUUAGGGUUUCAUUUUUAGGGUUUGAAAGGUUUAGGGUUUCAUUUUUAAGGUUUAGAGGGUUUAAGAUUUCAUUUUCAGUUUUGGAUUUUAGGUUUCGUUUUUAAGGUUUAUAAGGUUUAGGGUUUCAUUUUUAGGGUUUGGAAGGUUUAGGAUUUUGUUUCAGGGUUUGGAGGGUUUAGGGUUUCAUUUUUAAGGUUUAGAGGGUUUAGGAUUUUGAAAUUUAGGGUUUUAUUUAAAAUAAAAAAAAUAAACAUCUCUAAAAAUCUUCAACAUUUAAGUAAACUUUCAGAGCAUGUUUAAUUUUUAUAAUUUUUUAAAACUAUUUUUUAAAAAAAUUCUUUUUAAUGAAAAUUUAUUAUUAAAAUAUUAUUAAUUUAUUUAAUAUUUUUUAUAAUAAUAAUUUUUCAGUAUCUAGGUGAAAUUAUCAUUAUUUAGAGCAUGAUUAAAUUCCUUCUAAUAUCUAAAUAGAAAAAAGUUUCUUAUCACUAAUUUAUUUUAUAAUCAUUUUAUAAUUUUCUAUUUAACAUUUAGGUUAUUAUUAACAAAGAAAAAUAUGCCAAAAAUUUGAAAUCAUUUUUUAUUAUUGUUGUUGUUAUUAUCAAUUAUUAUUGUAAAAUAAAGAAUGUUUAUUCUAACAAAUUUAGAGGUAUUAAACAGGCUUAAAUAAUAAUAAUAAAACCAAAAUAAUAUAAAUAAUAUAUAUAAAAAUGAAGAAAAAAUUUACCAGAACUGGUUCAGCCAACGAUCCGAUCAACGUCGAUUCGACGGUUCAAGUGGUUCUGCGUCCAAUCAACAGUUCGAUAGUUUGGACGAUCGGUCAACGGUUCGAUUCGGUCUGAUUCGAUUUAACUGAAUUGGUCAGAGGCUGUUAAGGGAACGGGUCAACAAAUCAGUUUGCGCGGACCCUGGGUCGAGACGCGGGUCAAUGCACGAAUCCUAGGAUCUUGAGACAAUGUCAUUUUGGGCUUUGGCUUUCUAUAUAAAACCAAAUUUUUUUUUCAGUUCAUUCUAUCAUUUCUGCCAGAAAAUAAUUCAAAGCUCCAAAGAAAGCUCCAAGGCCUCUAUAGGCAUCAACGUCGGGCCACCUGCACCACCACGUCGAUCGUCGCCUGGGUUACCACUGACAAUUGUCAAUGGUCGAAAAAUGCCAAAAUUCUUUAAAAAACUCUCUUCGAUACCCUCUUUUCAGAUUCGAUCUUCUUUUUACUGGAAACGACCUUGAUCAGCGUAGAUCGGGACUUAAAUUUUCUAUUUUCUUUCUUUUUUUUAUAAACCAAAACUAAUGUAUUUUUUUAUUUUGCAAGUACCUCUUUGGCGUUGGUUUCUUCCUUACGGUGAGGACUAUUUUAAUUUUUUUUUGUGAAUUUUUUUUUGUUUUCUUAUAGGUAUUGUGGGGAAAUGAUAAUCAGGGUUCAUUGGGUGCUGGCGUGGUGGUUUCGAGCACAAGGGGUGGGUGUAUGACACUAGGUUUGACGAGGGUUGAGGCUCGAACUACGAUGCCAAUGAAUUUUGGGUUUUUGAUGUGUUUGAAUUUGGUGUUUUUUCCAUGAGAGUUGAAAGGGAAAAAAGCUUUGGCUUUAAGGAGUAAGGGAUUUGGGCGGUUGUAGAUGUGGCUAGGGUAAGUUGUAGGGGUGGUUGUAGGGUGACAGUAAGGUGAUGAUAAGAGGCUAUAGGGUGAUUGGUGCCAGGCAUCAACACUUUGUUUUUUGUCACUUUUUUUUUAAUUAAUUAAUUUUUUAAUUUUUUAUUAUUAAUGUAUUUAAUUAAUUAACUUAAAAUUUUAAUCCAAUAAACUUAAAUAAAAUUUGAUGUCUAUAAGAUGGAUGAUAGAGAGUAUCUCUCCUUUUUGUGUCAAAUAUGAUCAUAGUCUUAUUGUACUACUUCAACCUAGUGGCAGUGCAGGACAGACAUCUUUUAAUUUUUGGCUCCGAUUUUGUUCCCUUAUUCUACACAAAAUACAUUGCUUUACUCUUUGCUUUUCUUUGUCCAUCAUCAAUGAUAAAUAUUGCAAGAAAGAGGGGGACCGAAAAUAAAACAAGAAAAGUUUGCAAAACACAAAUAUUUUUGCCAUAAGAAAAUCGUAGAGUCAUCCUUUCUUUGUUUGGAACUGAAAUAUGAAGGGCGCCCAUUUCAUGACUUAAACAUACUUAGUAUGAAAUGCGAGGAAAUUUAAUUUUUGGAGACAAAUAUAUUGAUGAAAAAUUGUAAAUGGCAACGGGCUGGUCCCAAGCUUGGUUCAGACUUGAGCAAAUAGCAAACAUGCUGCUUCAUUUCACGUGACAAAAAGCUCCCUAGGCUUUAAUUCUAGGUUUAAGUCAGAGACUGUACCUAAUAAUUAGAGCUAUGUGCCCUCCAGCAAUUAAGAUUCUUAAGCUGCUUGCCGGGUAAAGUCUUGCCAGAGCGCAGCUGCAACUUUUGAUUUUGUACAGUUAUAGCCAAAAAAGAAACAGCUCAAUUCCACAGCCUUUCCCUAUGAGAAUGUCCUUUUUUUUUUUACCUAAAAUUGAAGCCUCAAAGAGCAACAUAAAGUCCCUUUCAAUUUUCAUUCCCACGAAUACCAUUUAAUAUUUUUUAGUGUUGUCAAUUCGAGGCUACAAGUCCUAGAAAACUAGUUUCACACCCAAUGCAACUAACCUCACAUGUAAACAAAGAAAUUCCAUUGUUGAAUCUCCGUUGUAAGUUUGCUCAAAGUCAAAGGUUCUUUUUCCCAUUCACAUAAGUAACUUAUAAAUUAAAGAACGAAAAAUUAUUUUCAUUUAUCGUAAAUAAAAUUAUUAAAUUUCAUCAACGUAAUGAUUAAAAUAACACAUAUUUUUUGUAAAAUAUAUUAAAAUUAAUUAAAAAAUAAUAUAAAAAAACACAUAUGGCUCUCUUGUUUAUUAAAAAAAAUUACUUACAAAGAAAUAUGACUCUCUUUAAUGUUUUAAAAUUCUCUUGGCGAGCCUUGCAAUUACCAAAACUUGCUGGGAUAUUUUUAUUCUCUUUUUUUUUUUUUCCUCUUGGAAGCGUGGGAGCAUGUUUCCUACGAAUCAAUUUUGAAGCUUCAAUAUAAUAAAGCGAAAUAUUUCUCAUAAGAUUGACCAAAAAAAAUUUUCUGAUAGAAUCAUAUGAUGAAAAGGGCCAUUAGUAAUAUUGUAUUAGAACCAUUAAUGCCUCUGUUUUUUGGGCUAAUUGUUUAUGUAGAUAAUGUUCUAUGCUUUAUAGCAUUAUUUAUUUAUAAACUUUGUUGGCUAAACCAUUAGUUAUUGAGGUUACCAAAAAACAUGGUCAUUAAUUAAGCACUAAAAUUAUUUGAUAGUGGAAAAUACAUGAGCCAGCAGCACCUAUCUCCACCGCCAGAAACACUGCCUCCACGAUAUGUGCUGUUCCAUUGAUAAUUAUGGGCCAAACUUUUCUACUUCAUUGUCUAUAUUAUUAUUAAUCAAUUAUUCCGAUUGUUAAAACUUAAAUGGCAUUAUUUCACAUAGGUUAUAAAUUUUUUAUAAUUUUAUAUUCAAAUUAAAUAUUCACUUUUUAUCUUUUGAUAUAAAUUAUAUGUUUAACAUGAUAUAGAGUUAGGUUUGUUCUAUUCUUCCUGUUUUAUGCUCUUCAUUAGUUUGUCACAUGCUAAUCUCAUAUAUGCUAAAAGGUAAUUAAUUGUUUAAAAAUGAUCUUUUUUACCUAUUAUCAAUUAAUUUUAAAUUUGAUGGUUAAUACUAAUAUUUUAUGGAAAUAUCAAAUAAUAAGACAUUUGUAUCAAAUACUAAUAUUUUAAAUUUCCAUUCGGUGGUUCCAGCUAGAGGAGCCUGUGAUUCUGAAAAACACGAGGUCUUUACGCGUAUUCUGCUGUUUCUGCAUGCUCUUUUCCCUCCAGUCACGGCGCAAGGUUUGAAUCGAUCAUCCGAAAAAGAAGAAAUUGAUGCAAUUUUAUAUGGAUUGCUGGGUAUUUCAAUUGAAGGUAGUCUCCAUAUUCCAUGUAUUUAUGAUAAAAAUAGAUCAUAAAAUUAUAGGCAAUGGAAAAUUAUUGUUCAACCAAUUAAAUGUACAAUGAACAAUGGACAAUCUUUAAAUUUAAGGUCAUAAUAGGCAGCUCUCACUCCGACAUGGAUAUUUUGUCACGCAUGCAUCAAGAAUAUCCUAGUCCUACUUAUGCUGUCAGCUACAGCAUUACAAUUCACGUUGACUUAUAAGAUAAUGUUUGAUUUAAUUUUGUUAAAUUUUAUGAUUUUAUUUUAUAAAAAAUACUUUCGAUUCUGUUGAGUUUUACGAUUUUAUCUUUUCAUAAUUUUAUUUUAUAAAAAUUAUUUUAUAAAUUAAAAAAAUAUGAAUAUUUAUAUUUUAAAAUUAAUUUUUAUAUAAAAUUAAUAUAAGAUUCAUAACUACAUAUUUUUUUUAAUCUAACAAGAACAUGAUUACAUCUUUUUUCAAUUCAACGAAAGUCUUAUUAAUACUUCAAAAUUUAUUAUAAUAUUAAAUUUUAUAAUUCAUAUCAACUUAUGAAAGUUUUUUUCGCUUUAGUCUCAUUGGUUCUCAUGAUUUUUUUUUUUAAAUACCUCACUAAAAGUGACGUGAACGUAUAUAUUCUAAAAUCAUUUUUAGUAUAUAACCUAUGUGAAAUUGAUUACUUUACUUUAAGACUACGACACACAGCCAGUGUAAACUCGAAUUUUGCAGAGGGUAAGGCCUUGCAACUAACAAUUUUAAGGGCCCAGCUCCAAAAAAAAUUUUUUUUCAUUCGUUCAAUAUGGAAGCAAUAAUCCUCUUCUUUGAAAAAAAUAAAAAUAUUAUGAAUUUUAAACGAAUUAAACGAAUAAUUAAACGAAUUUUUUUUAAAAAAAAACUAUUUUGUCAAUAUUUUCUUUACUCUAUUCAUAGGCACAAGAUCAUUAAUUAAAUUUACAAUUUAUACUUCCAGAUAAUAAAAAUAUCGAUUAGUGGAUAAAUAAAUAUCAUUACAUUUCUUAUGUAAUAGCUAAAAACUAUAUGUUCUUUUUUUUUUCUUUGCAUUUCUGAUAUAUUCAGAUCAUCAUAACCACAGUCAUCCUUUCAUGAAUAUAUAUGGAUUAAAUAUUUAGUUCUUUCUCAGUAUAUCACAGAAUAUAAUUAAAUUAUUAAUUUAAAGUAUAUUUAUUGAUAGAUAAAUUAGUUUUUAUACUGUAAUUUAUGUAAAAAAAUAUUUGAAUUAAAAAAUAAUACUAUUAUAUUAAAAUUAAAAAAAUUAUAUUAUAUAUAAAUAAAAAAUAAAAAAAAUCACACAAAUUAUAUUUUGAACUUAUUACAUUGAAUAUUAGUUUGAAAAUAUAAAAAUUUAUAAUAUAAAAUAAUUACAAUUAAUUGUGAAAAGAAAGAUGUUUUUAUUUUAUAUAUUAAAUAAGUAAUAUUGAUUAUUAUUAAUUUUAUAUAUUACUUGAUAACAAAAAUUUCUUACCUCUUUUAAUAAAAAUUAAAUCACUUUCUAAAGUAAUGAUACGAUCACUUUCAAUAAUUUAAAAUCAUCGUCACAUAUGACUACUAAGAGAGAUCUAGCAUAGCAAGACCUUAAUCUCUCACGAUUGAUCCAAUGGACCUAGUUGCUAGCUUGACCCCCGGAUUCGUCAGACAUAGAGAUUACCAAAUAUGAUAAUCUAAUCAUUAUAUGAAAAUUUUUAUAAUUGUUUUGAUUGAUCAUCUCGUACAAAAUAUUAUUUAAAAGUAAAAGCAAAUAAAAGAGAUUAUUUCCAUGUGUACAAUCUCUUCCUUGAUUUACAAACUGCAGUAUCUUUUAUAAAAUAAAUUAUCAAUGCUUAUAUGAUCACUUAGGUAGUGUUUUAUAUCAUUUCAAGAUCAUCACGAUAAUUUUAUUAUCAAGAUAAUCUUAUUACUGAGGUGAUCUAAUCACUUGUAAUAUGGAAUCACUUUAUUUAAUUAAUAAUAAUUAAUUCUUAAAAAUUAAAAAUUAUUGUAUUUAGUAUUAUUAAAAUCAAAUAUCAUUUUGUUUGAAAAUAUAAAAAUAACCAUGUAUAUAUAUUAUAAUAAAUAUAUAAGUUAAUGAUUUCAAUAUUAUUUAAAGAUAAUAAUUAGUAAAAUAUUAGUAUUAUUUUAUUUAUUUUAUAAUAAAAUACAAUUAAAUUAACAAAUUUAUUAUUUAUAAACAAAUAUACUUAUUGAUAAAUAAAUUAAUUUUUUUAAUAUAAAUUUUGUAAAAAAUAUGUUGAAUUAAAAAAAUGAAACUAAUCCAUAUUAAAAUCACAACAAAAGAAAAACAAAAAUUAUAUUAUAUUAAUAAAACAUUAAAAAAUUAAAAAAAAAAAACACAUCAAUUAUUUUUGAAUUAUUACAAUAAAUAUUUAAUUUAAAAAUAAUAAAUUAUAAUAUAAAAUAAUUAAAUUUUAAAAUAAAAUAAAUUUUUAAUUCACAUAUUAAAUAAAUAAUAUUAAUUAUUAUUAAUUUUAUAUAUUUAUCUCGAUGAUAAAACUUUUUAUCCUUUUGAUGGAAAUUAGAUCACUUUUUAAGGCACUUAUAUAUAUUAUUAAUUACAUAUUAUGUGUACUUAAAAACUUGCACAAGAAUUUAUUUUUUUUUUAGGAAAAUUGCCCUGGAAUUUUAGUUAUAUAUAUUAUUUAUAAAGUGUAAGAAGGAAAGUUAAUUAGUUCUUCACUUUAUACAAUAUUGUAUGCGGAUACUUAUAUUUAAAAAUAAUUGCUUAAUUACUAAAAAGAUAAAUAAUUUUUUAAUUUCUAAAUAAAAUUUAACAAAUCUAAAAUUUAAAAUUUUACUUUUAGGGCCGAAUGGUUCGUAAAAUCUUGAAUUUUAGAGGAAAAUUUGAUACAUGUGGUUUAGAUUUAUUUUCAGAACAUCCCUUAAUUAGAUUAAUUCAUUUGGUUUGAAAAAAUCUUAGUUUAUUAAUUCAUAUAUAAUUAUUAUAAUCUUCUUAAUAAGCUGUAUAUAACAUUUUAUUUUGUUUUAAUAAAUAAACUUAAACUUCAAAUGAUACCUUUAGCAUUAAAAAAAAAAGAAAAUUUUAAUUUUUUAAUUAAAUAUACCAAAUUAUGGUAUUUAACUAGAUAUCAAACCAUAAUUAUUGUAUUUAAAUAUAAAAAAAUCAAUUACAGUGUUUGAAAGAGCUGGACGCUUUAUUUUUUUUAUAAAUAUGUUAGAAAAAAAUCAAAUAAGGGAUUUGUUAAAAAAUAAAACACUUUAUUUGUUUUUGUAAAAAUUUUAAAAAAUCAUUUAUCGAACAAAGUGUUUGCAAGAAAAAUCGCUUUAAUUAAUAUCAAUAAGAUACUUAUAAGAAAAAAUACUUUAAUUGAUAAUAAUUAAGAGGCUUAUAAAAAGAAACAUUUUAAUUGAUAUCAAUUAAGAUUUUUUUUUAUAAAUAUUUUUAAUUAUUAUAUAUUAAAAUUAAAUUUAAAAUAAGAUAAAUUUUUAAAAAAUUAAAAUUAAAUUUUAAAUUUACUUUUAAAAAAGAUAACGUAUAUGAUAAAUUAUUUAUUCAAAUCAAAUUUAAAAAUAAGUCAAUUUUUUUUCAUAAUCUUAAAAUAUCACAUGAAAAGUUAAAUUUUUUAUUCUAAUUUUUUUAUACUAUUAAAAAUUUAAUAUUUUGUCUGUAAUCAAAUUAUUUUAAAUUUAAUGUAAAAAAUAAAUACUCAUCAUUAAAAUUUUUUAAAAAAUUUGUAAAAUCUUCCCUACCAAUCGCACUCUUACAAUUUUUUUAUCCGAACGGAGACUCCUUUAUAAAAAGGUGACUUAAUUACCGUAAAGAUAAUGAUUUUCACAUCAUACUGCUUGUGUUUUUCAAAACUAAAGCCUCUGCGAUUCCAAAUUUUGUUUCUUGUUUUUUUCACUCUUCUCAAAGAAAAAACAAAAAAAAGGGAAAAUCUGCACGCUUGAUUAGAUUUUCUUCUUCUUCUUAACCAAAUUCCCAUUUCAUUUGCUUUCACAAAAGUUGAAACAAAAUCUCUCUUGCCAACUUGAGGGUACUUUCCAACGUCGUUACAGAGUCAGUUCAUUUGCACCAGAUAUCAGUUAAAGCACCAGUCCUUUUAACUAAGACAACUCUUUGUUCUGUUCUCUUCCUCUUUAAUAGUGUUUCUUUAAAGCCUUGUUUGUAAAUCACGACAUAUGUUUGAUUUUAAGAAUAGUCUAUUGGUGUUAGAAAAUCUUGGAAGUUUUUGACUUCUAAAGAAGGAUUUGGGCGUCCCUCUUUUCUUUUUUUUCUUUUCUCUUCCAAUCAGGUGGUUGAUCAAGAGUGCCCAUUUGAUACGCAAUUGUUGACGCUCUAUAGAGUCCUAAUUCCAUCUCUUCUUACUUUUGGCUCUUCCUUUAUUGUUUUUAUUAAUCUUUGCUUCACUUUCCCGAGAAAAUGAAGGACAUGACGGAAAAUCGAAAGUUGGUAAGCAGAGUAUCUCUGGGUUUUUUCCCCAAUAUUUUAUUUCCUUUUUUCGUUUUUCUUGUAACUGUUUAAUUGGUUUUUAUCAUCAUCAUCUAUCGUUCUAUUUCUAAUAAAAUUCCUUAAAAUUUUGAUCUUAAUUUCAAGUUAAGGGAUGUUCGGUCUUUGUUUUUGUACCUCUGACUCUGUCUUGUUGGGUUCCUGAUUUGGUGAUAGGAUUCGGCAUCUUCCUACGAUGGUUGUGGGUCAGAAGAGAAGACAUCCUCACAAAAAAUUUCAGUUUCGGAUCAUAUUAAUGGAUUUCAAUACACAAACUAUAAACCCGAUAGCUUUGUUAUUGACAUGGAAAGUUUCUCUCAUGGAGGAACCAGUAAAGAAAUAAAUCCAAAUUCAAGAAUCACUGUAAGUUUCCUUCUUUUUUUGGGAUAAUUUCAAAUAUGCUAUAUUUUUUGAAUGACACGUGUUCAUAGCUCAAGCAUCCAGUUCAUGCAUGUUUGAAAUUCUACUUUUUUACAACAAGAAAGAGUAUAAAUGCUUGUUUUGCUGAAAUUUUCAUGAAUUUUUGAAGCUAAAGAAAAACCUUUUGAGAUACCACAUUAACAACCUGCCCAUGACUUUGCGGUCAUCUCAAUAUAUAAAAAAUAUCACCAUUUUCUUUUCUUUUUUUUUUUUUUUUAUUGUUGUUGUUAUAUAUGAUUUUUUUUUUUUUUUGUUUUUCUUCUGUUAAUUAAAAAAAAAAGUUGCAGCGAAGCCUUUCACGCAAAGGGUCUCAGCGAGGCGACAAGAAGAUUAUUACUCCCAAUUGUGUUAAUUCUAAUUCUAGUUCCACUCUCGAUGAUAGAGAUUCUGUGGCCGCCACUAACCCCUCAUACAGAGGUACAAACUUUUUCUCCACAAAUGAACAUUAAUUGCUUUGAUUAUACUAAUUGCAUUGUCAAUUUACCAUUUGCUGUUUUUUAAACUCUUAACUCCAACUUUUCCCAGGAAAAAUUUUCCUGGAAAAAUGAAUGGGAACAGUUUGGCUCGGAUGUUAUAAGUUUUUCCCAAGUUUAAUGCUUCAAUUUUCUUGACACAUAUGGACCUUUGGCCCCUGUUGUGAGAGAGGGUGUUGUUGCAUAAUUGCAUAUGUAGGACAGACUAAUAAUAGUUAGAAUAAAUUAAGAUUUGGACAUAUUUGCUGUUUGCCAUAUUGUAGUUUAAUACACUAUUUUCCAUCAACGACCAGGACCAAUGGGCUUACACCCCCUUUGCUCGACAAUUAUACAGUUGAUUUUGUUAUUAUUAGGCUAUAAUAUAUCAAUUAAUUUACUACUAAGAUUCUCGAGAAGGUUUGGUUUUUUAGUAUGUGCUGGCACACAUGCCAGGCUUGAAUUUAACUUGUUAAAUACAGGGCUGUUAUUCAGUAGUUCUCAUUUAACAAAGAAGAGGGCAGUAACUGAAUUUGAGUUCUGCUGGGUGUCUAAUAAAUUGGUGCAAAGUUCAGAUUCCAAGAGUAUCGUCCUUUUUGUUGAUGUUCUUCUCCUGGACGUAUGUUCUCAUGUAUUGUUGGAAAUUUUAGGGUAAAAUGCCUGUUAAUUUACAUAUUUUAUUUGUGAGAUUUAGGCAUGGAAUUAUUGAAUUGUGCAACUACUCUGCUAGGGUCUAGCACGCUUGAAAAGCCCACGGCGGUGGCUGUAGGGUCCACCGAUUAUGCCAGCAACCCACAAGUUCAUCAUCAGAUCACCAUUACAACUGGCAAUAUCGCUGCUGCCACUGACAGCAGAUUCAGUUUAAGGAGAAAUAGUUUCAGGCGGUCUCCUCCACCAUGGCUACUAGAUCCCAGGAGGAUUCUCAUGUUCUUUGCCACAUUGUAAGUUGCAGCCAAUUGGAGGUUCACUUGCAAAGAUACAAAAUCUUAGCAAUUCAAUAUAUUGGGGGUGAAAAUUUUCCUCUUUUGACAGGUCGAGCAUGGGCACAAUUUUGCUGAUAUAUUUCACUUUGUCAGUAAGCAAAAUGAAUGGAGAUGAGAAUGCUUUAGAUUAGUAGCUGGAACGAUACUCACCAACUUAUUGCUCUGAUUAAAAUAUGUUGAAAUAUAGCACACACAUGGGAGUUCAAUGCGUGACAAAAAGAAAUGGAUGCGAGUGGUUGUUAGUGAGGCUCUUUUUUACAAGAAAUGUCUUCUUUUGAUGAGAAAUUGAGAAUUAUCCAGGUAGUGAAGAACAAAAAGAAAGAUCAAAAGGAAGACAAAUUGGGCCAGAGGACGGCAAAAGCAAAUCAACCCUCCCAGUAAGAUGACUUAAAAUUUAGCAGUUAUCAACUUUUUGAGGCAUCUUAGAGAAAUUUUGGAGAUGAGGACAAAGGCAUACUCCACUGUGACAAAGAGAUGGAAUCUUCCCUUUUUAAUUAUAUAUAUAUAUAUAUAUAUAUAUAUAUAUGUAUGGAAGAGAUAAAAAAAAAAAAAGUUGAUAGAUUACAUUUUUAUGCAUUUUUAUGCUUUGUUGUUUAUCUCCACAGUCGAUGCAGAUGAAAUGGAGGAUCAGAAGUUACUUUUGUGCCCCAUCUUUUCUUUUUCCUUCGCCAUACCUUCUCUUCAGUUUCCUUUUCUGGCAAUCUAACAUCAAGUGCUUUUCGCUCGGUGGCUUUCACGUGAGCGAGCAAAGGAAAAAUCAUAGCUAUGAGAUUUACAGGGCACUAAAGUAUUUGUAUAUUUGCACAUAAGCAUGCGCACUCGAAGCUUCCUACUCUUUUCGGACCAAAGCGUGGGCUUCGGGUGAUAAAAGUGUUCUUUUCUAAAGGCUCGUAGGGUUGGUUAACACAGCACUCGAAUAGGCCUAACACCCACUCACGCAGUCAUACUUCAGUUGGAAGUUAACAAAGGUCUAAUUUGGAUGGUCAGUUGCCACCAGCGGAGCGCGGUUCUUCCCUAAAGGACUGGCCAUCCAUUUAGCCAUUUGCGUAACGACACUUGCAUGUUUUCACUGCACUAGAACAAUUUUUAUAUUGAACCUUAAACGUCCAGAGGAAAAACUAACUGCCCAUUACAUUUUUUUUCCUAAUAAACUUUUGCUUUCUUUUUUAUCCUUGAAAUUAUAACAAAAGGACGAAAAUAUCCUUCCACUUAACUUUUUCUUUCUUGUUAAUUUUUUUCAUUUUUGAUUUUUUAUUGAAAAGUUUUUAAAUAACUUUGUUAAUUUAAUAUAAUAAAUAAAAAUUUAUAUUUAUAUCAUAAAAAAUAAUUAAUAAUACAAAAAAUAUAUAAUUGAAUAUGACUUUGUUAAGUUUCAAUUUAUUUAAAUAUAUUAGUAUCAUAUUUUUAAAUUAUUUGAUAUAUUAUUAUAUUUUUAUUAAUUUUCAGUCAUUUAUUAACACAAUUUUUAUUUGACAUAAAAAUAAUUUAAUAACUUUAAUUAUUUAUUAAUUUUGUACAAAUUUUAUUUAUAUACAAAUUUUAAUAUAAUAUUUUGAAUGAUCAUUUUAUAUUUUUACUAUAAUUCACUUCAUCACUAUAUUUUUUUUACACUUAAAUAUAUAUCCAAUUAUUCAUUUUAAUUUUAUCGUUGUAAUAAUUAAUUCAUCUUUUUUAUUAUUUCAAUCUCAUUCAAAUUGAUCACUCUCCCCUCCAAACGAACCCUAAUUUCUGAUACAGAUACAAUGCCAGGUUUCGUGUGCUGAGCGAUUUCAAGCAGUAAAAUAGAGGUAAAACCAGAUGCAUCAUGCGGUUCGAACAUCGAGGCAACAAACAAAACGGAAUUACAGGCAAUUUGCACAACAGCUAAGCUAUCUAUGACAUUGACUAUCGAGAAAAGCUGCAGCAUGCAUUGUUUAAUUGUUUCAGUUCCUUGAAGCCACACCUGAUCCCAGGGUACAAUCUUUCCUGAGAAAAUCAUAAUUGAUGACUUGUACUGCUGAAACUGAUUCCAAAUACCUCGAUCACACAUUCAAACUUUCAAUCGUUAUCAUCAGCACCAGAUAAAAAAAAAAAAACUGUUUUUUGGACAAAUUUUCCAAGUAAGGGAGGUGGGUGUAUGCCUCCUCUCUCUCUCUCUCUCUCUCUCCCCCAAACUAACCUAGUAACUUAGCCUGACCUACUAACUACUAAGCCACCAAUGAUUUUUUUUUUCUUUUAAAACACAGCUAAACCAGAUAAGCAUCGAUUCUAAAAUCAACAAUGAAGAACUUGAACUAAGGUUUUCCAUCUAAAGCAACAAAACUGUUUGUGGGUUAAUAAUUUAUUUAAGUAGGACACCAUAUGACCAAUGUUCUGAUGGUCUCUCCGCAAUAUCAAUCCCUUUCCACUGCUCUUUGGCUUAUCAUAUUUUUGAAUCAUGCAGCCACCCUAGGCCACCUCUUCACUCAAUUAGGAAUCUCUCACCACUCUUUCGAAGAUUAUCUAUAGUGGGUACCAUGAAUAGACCCCCUUUACCUAAAUGCCAUUCACUGUAUAAACAAAAAAGAAAAUCCUUUGUUUAGAUUCAUUGACACAGAAACAGUCCGUCUCAACCACAUGAAACAUGUGACAGUAUAAGACAACUUAACGUAUUACGAUACAGAACCCAACAAAAUCACUAAUAACCUUCUCAAAUAUAGGAAUAAAACAAACUUCAUAAAGGCAUUUCAGCAAACUGAAGUUCAAAAACCAGUGUAGUCAUAGCUGAUGAAAACCUCUGGAGGUAUGGAAAUCAAGAUCACCUAGAAAAUAUGGAUUGAUGCCUCAAUCAUGGAUAAAAUCAGACACAAGCAGCCUUGGGGUACAAUACAGAGGCAAAGAAACCCAAAUAAUAAUAAUAAUAAUAAUAAUAAUAGAUGAUUAAAGAAAAGUUAGAUCUACCACUCAAUAAUUCUGGUACUAAAUUACCUCCACAAAACCAAUAUAUGAGGUUUUGGAGAUGAUGAAGUUAAGUAGUCACUUUAGAUAAACCAUUGGAGUUUAUAACCACGUGUAACAAAUACAUAGCCGCUACUUUACGAGAAUCUUAAGAUGUUUUUUCUUUUGGCCAACCUUUAGAUGUUCAACUAAGACAAAGGAAGAAAAACUGCGUAAGCAAACUAUGUGGCUGUAAUACACUAGUAGUUACUGAAGUUCAUAAUCAGUGAAAUACUGAUACUCGAGAUGGAAAGAAGAAACAUAUACACUUGCUAUAUUUCACCUUGUUUUCCCAACCAUUCACCAUCUGAGUUACGAAGUAAUUCUCUGUAACUAUGAGGCAGCAACCUCAGACUCCAGCUGUCCAGCAUACCUGAAAACAAAGAACUUGCCAUCUCAUUGCUUUAUUAGUAACGUUUUGAGAUUCCUGGCAUUGAACACUUGUGCUUCCGAUCAUGGUAGAGCCUCAAUAUAACAGCAGCAGUUUCUUCAAUUGCUUUUUCUGUCACUUCUGCACUCAUAAGUAUCAUUAGGUGAGCCCAAGAUUUCAUCAGCUGAACAUGUCAAACAUCUUUAACUUUUGAAUAUCAAUUUUUACUAUAAUUUUUCUCCUAUUAAACUUACAUAUGGGCUCUAAGUAUCUGCAUUCUGAACUAUCAAAAGAGUUGGGAGAACAAAACAAAAAUAGAGUAAAACAGUUAAUUAUCUUUACCAAUAACUGGCCAGACAGGAUUUUGGGCAAAAACCCUGCGAGCAAACUCCAACUCCUGUCUCACAUAAUCCAUCUCUGAAUAGUUACUCCUUGCUUCCUUGCUGAAGCCCAGACUCUUAGCUCUUGCUUUUCUAAUAGUUUGCAAGACCAAAGGAUUAAUAGUCAAACCAAAAACCUUCUCAGGGUCUACCUCGAAAAGUCCCUUUGGCAAUGCCACUCCCUUCACAAUAGGCACAUUUGCCACUUUAUAUCCUUUCUGUGCUAGAUAAAUUGAUAACGGUGUCUUCCCAGUACGAGAAACACCCGUGAGAACAAUGUCAGCCUUGCACAAGUUUUGGGGUAGAGCCCCAUCAUCCUGCUUGAUUGUAAAUUCAACAGCUUCAAUCCGUCGAAAGUAUUCAUCCGAAAGAGGAAAGUUUCUCCCAGAAGCUCCCCGGGGAAGACCGGAGGGUGAGACACCCAAAUGAGCGGCAAUUGACUCUGUAAUUGGACCCAAUAUAUCCGUAGAUGGCAUACCCCACAAUUUGCAAGCUUGCUUGGCGGACUCUGCCAUGUAAGGAUCGGCUAAAGUGUAAACAAGCAUUGCACCUUCCUUGGCUGCCUGCUUUAUAAUCUCCAUCAAUCUCUCAACAUCGUCAAUCUGAACAUUGCAUAUCACAUUGUCAAAGAAUUAAUCCAAAAGGCACUACUUUUAUGAUCAGAAUCUCCCAACCUAAUAUUUUUCAAACAUUAAAAAAAAUUCAAAUUUCAUUACAAAUAAAUAAACUUGAAUAACAACUAGAACAAAAUAUGCAAUUUUUUUUACUUACUUUAAAAGACAGUAAAAAAAAGUUAGUACUUUCACUCUUUAUUAUAUUUAGUACUUACUUUAAAAGGAAAAAUAAACCCAAAACAAGCAGACAACCUUAAAUAUGGCAAAACUUUAGUAGGAUUCAUUAGUAACUGAAACAAAUUCUGUUAAGAUAUGAAACUAAGUGAAAAGACAAACAUACCCCUGAGAAAAGAUGGGUAUUUACGGGGCACACACGGUCCACCAAGCAAUGCUCGAAUUGCCCCAACGCCGCGUUAACGGAAUGCUCCACCGUCCACCCAGUUCCAUCAGAUACCAUAUAAAUUGGCUUCACCGAUGUUGUUACCUCCACCUCAUGACCGCUGUCACUGACCGUUGCAGUGGAUUCCAAAGACAGGCUCUCUCCAGCUCGUUGAACCAAGUGGUUCACUUCAAGCGCUCCCGUCCGGUGGCUCGGUCGUUCCAGUUUGUGGCCCGACCUUAAGGCUCGUGCCCGGUACCAUCUGUUGAGCUGUGGGCUGCCCUUCAGUUUCCGAACUUUGGGCUGGGGUUCUGGCUCGGAGAUAUCGGGAUUGGCCGCGGUUGCUGUGGCCCGGAGAUUGAAGGUGGAACAAGCCAGCAUUUUUUUUUUUUUGGUUCAACUCUUUUUUUCUAAUUUUAUCUAUUUGUUGGGAAAUUAUGAGGUGAAAGGAAAAUCCGGCCUAAACAAUAGGGAUAAUCCAAAGUAGAGUUUAGCAGCCCACAAAUUAAAUUGGACUGAAUAACAUUUUUCGGGAAAUUUUUGGGCAUUGGAAAGUUUUGAAAAAGGGCUGGCUUCGCUUUCAAGUCCACUUAGACUUUUAGGCCCAUCCAUUAUUUUGAGGAUGAAAUUAUUCGUGUCCUUAUUUUGUCGGAUGAAGCACUCGUUGUCGAGUAGGUCUUUGAAAAAAAAAACGUUCUUGCUCUUAAUUUUUUCAAGUUUUGCUAAUGAUCAUGUAACUUGACAUAUAAUAUCCUAUUUUAAUCGAGAUAGUUUGAGAUCUUUGCUCAAGUUUUUUACUACAAUAGAGUCGUUUAAAAUUUUAUUGGAAAACCCGAUUAUAAAACACAUCUUUUCAUACGAUAAAUCCUUCAAUCAGGCCUCCAAAUGAACCUACCCGCAACCUAAAAUGUUUUGUUUCUUAAAAGAUCUACCAGCAUUUAUCAACUUUAAAAUUGCUCAAUCACCAAUUUUAAUUGAAUUUUAUAAUUAAACAAAACAUACUAUAAAAUUUUUCUCGGGGCGGCGUGGAGGAGGAAUGGGAUAGGAAGACCAAACAUUUUUAUACAAAUGACCUAACUACUAACUAGCUAGAAGAGGCAAUCAAUAUUUACUUGGUGAAUAUAUAUAUAUAUAUAUAUAUAUAUAUUUAUACAAGAAACCUGGGGAGCCCUACUUUAUAGCCAUAUUUUUUAACAUCGUCCUGGACUUGCUGUCUGUAUUCCCUAAAGCUAAACAUCCGAUAAACCGAAGGCUUGCUGCAACUUUCUAUCACAGUCUCAGACGAUGGGCAAAGGAAAUAUGCAGCUGUAAACCUUUCAUUUGUUGGAUUCGUGACGACACAAUGUUGUACACUCUUGUAAUAAUCAUUGCUUCUUGCCUGCUCAAUAUCAAUAUAUCCAGUCAGUAGCUAAUUGACCUUUUGAACCGGUAAACAAGUUGCUAUAUUAAUAUUGAUUACCUGAAAUAAAUCUCCAAUGUUGAUGAUUAAGGCUUCAGGAUUGGGUUUGACUGCAAUCCAUUUCCCAUCUUUCACUAAUUGCAAUCCUCCUACCUGAUCCUGGUGCAGAAUAGUGAGGAAGUCGCUAUCCGUGUGUGGCAUUAGACCAAAUAUUUCUAAAGGAAAUGGGCAGGGUGGGUAUCUGUUCAGUCGUAGAUAGCAAGUGCUUGGCAAACAAUUUUCCUGGAAAAAAUUCGACUUGUGACCUAACUCCUCUGCCAAAAUUUCAGCUAACGUCUGAGCAAGACUGGCAAGUUUUGUAGCAAACUGUUCCAUUGAUGACCUGGUUAACACAUUACGAGGGCCAAAUGAGUAGUAGUUUGAGAAUUAUUUCAUAGUUUAAAGAAAAGAUAUUAGAAAAAGAAUCCCCCAACUAUUAAGAGGUGGGUGCAAUGACCCAGUAGGAAGUAGUACAGCAAUAUAGAUCAUCAAGAAAAGGGAACCCCGUUUUUGAGGUCACAUCAAGCUUUUUAAUGCAUGCAGAUUGGAUUGACUGGGUUUCCACCUCAUCCAAUUAACAUGUGACAUUCAUGUGGGAUGUAUGCCAGAGAAGAGAGAACGUGCAUGUAAGGCAAGGAAGUGAUCCCCAUUGUACGUUGGAUGAUUUUAUGGUGAGUUUUCAGACCUUUCUUUCUUACAGGGUGCAAUGUAUCUAACUGUUUAUAUAUUACUAGUGUGACCACAAAGAAUUAAAAGCCAUUGACUUGUCUAACUAAAUCUAAAAGGACAAACCUAUUGAGACGUUACAGCUUAAUUCCACAAAGAGGAUGACACCUCACACAUUUUACCAUGCAGCUGUGGUUCCUAAUGUUUACAUGUGAUAAUAUCUCGAAGCUGAGGCCUAGUAACAGUAUGAGUUGACAGUUGACACUGAAACAGACACAGAACCACCAAUAAGAAAAGACAAAUAUGUAUACAUUAAAAGGAAAAAGCAAAAUGUCUGAGCCCGGGUUCGAACCGGGGACCUCUAGUGUGUGAGACUAGCGUGAUAACCAACUACACCACCCAGACCGGUUGAGAUAGGUCCCGAUAAAAUUUAAAUAUCAUUGACUAGCUUAACUUUUCGUUCAGUGGAUAUGGAUGGAUUGGCUGGAAGUAAAGUGGUCCACCGUCAUAUUCAAUAACAAUCAACAUUUUCCAUAUUUGGGAUACAUUUAAGACAUUCAAUAUCAACCUCAUAUUCUUAAGAUAUGAAAAGGCAACUUAUCAAAUCCCAUUAGGAUGGAAACACAAAAAAAAAGGUGUUGUUAGCUUUAAUUUUCAAUUAAUGUCAAAUGGAUGUUUAAUAGAAGUCAUGGAUACAGGUGAUAAAUUUAUGAUUGUUAGGUUAAAAUGGAAAACCUAUAUUUCUAACUAUCUAGAUUAAUUUUUAAAUGUUAAUAAUAUAUGAAGAACUUAUGAAUCAUAUGAUAUUUGUAAAUCGUAUUAAUUAUUUUUAUUUAAUUUUUAAAAUAUUGAAAUUAUAUUAUUUUUAAAAAUUCAAUGGCUAGACUGAUCCUUAAGUAAAGAUUUUAGAAGAUCAAUCAAGCUUGACUCGGCCCACAACAGAUUUAUUAAUUUUUUAAUAUCGCUAAUAUUUUAUUAAAAUACUAACUUUAGGUGGGUCUUCUAGCUUUAACAAUUUUUAAGCCAAAUUAUUGUUAAGUAAAAGAAUAAAAUCCUUGCUUUUAAAGUUUUGUGAGAUUUGUAAAGUGGACACUCGAUGCUAAUACUUUUUAACUUUGAAAUUUACUAUUCAAGUUUAAAUUUUAUUUACUCCAUUUUGUACCAUAAAAACUUUAUCUAAUAAAGAAACUUGAUGCAAGUGUACAAUGCACCUAGACAAACAUCAAAGAUGAAAGUUAACUUGUAAUCUUAUCUUGUUUCAAACCCAAGUACAUCUGUUUACGCUCCCUGACAACUAUGAUGAUCUUCUUAAUCAAGCUUUAAGAGUUUUACAAGGAGAUCAUUUGACUAUUGAAACCGAAUCAUCUAAACUAUUUUUUAAUAUUUAAAAUUAUCAUAAUUUACACUCUAAUAAUUAAAACUAAAAAUUUAAAAUUUUACCAACAAAACCUGCUACUGAUAGGAAAUUAUUAUUAUUUUUUUUAACUUAUGGCAAUUAGCCAUUCUUUCUUUUCUAGACAUACCAAAAUUAAGACGAUGGUUUUGACAAAAUUUUGAUUCUUUCUGCUAUAAUUAAGAAUCUAGGCUUCUAAAGCAAUCACAAAAAGUUUAAAAAGACUAUGAAAAGACUAUGGAUUUGAGCCUUGUUGUCUCAUCGUUACAAUAGUUGGUUUUUCAACAAGAAAACUAUAGCUAAGCUUCAAUUGCAUGCCGACAUGCGGUCUCAACAAUAAAACAAAAGCCUUAAUUAAUGUUUUAACUUAAAUAAGACAUAAACAAGCUUAUGUUCUGGUUCUUAGUGUUAUGUUAUUGCGCUUACAAAUUUGCAAAGAAACAAAGUUGAGGAGGAAAUAAAGGAAGCUUUCUAAAUACCUGAGACUACUAUUGAUGAAGGCGCAGGAGCUUGAGAUAUCGUUCAUGGGAAUGUGGAAAGCUUCUGACCAUGACAAUUGCCUUAGGGAAGUUGCUGUUGGCGUCCCCCAACGAUAACUACCAGGGGAGAAAUUCAAGAACUUGUCUUCUCUGCACUUGUUGUGAAAAGGUUGCUUGAAAAUUUUCACUUGUUCGUCUCUCAUCUUCUCCAAUAUGUCUCUCGAGAUUCCAUGGUUUAUGACUUGAAAAAAACCCCAUUCAUGCGCUGCCCUAGCUAUCUCUUUCUUGCACUCUUCACUCUCCAGCUCGUCGACCCCUAAACGGCUUAGAUCAAUCAAGGGAAGCUCGCGUUCCUCGACGACGACAAGGCGGUGGUUGUUUUGAGAGAUUUUGGUCCUCGGUUCUUCGUCGUUGGUGGAGUUCACGAAGAGGUUCUUGUAUGUCUCGUGGAACGGUGGGUCCGAAUCCAUGCCUAGCGGCUAAUCUCAAAGCAGAGAUCGAGAAGAGUGAAAGGUCAAAAAUGGCUAAUUAUAAGCUGUUUGUAUGGUAGUGAGAGAGAUGGAGACAGAGUAAGGAUUGAGACAAUACGAUUUUCUUUGUUUCUGUUCGAUGAAAACGUUAUGGAGACAAUUCGAUUUUCUUUGUCUCCUUUUCUCACGUUUUGGACUUUGGAGACAAGGCUGAAUUGCAUGUCUUUUUGUAUCACUUUGGAGUCAUAUAUAUAUAUAUAUAUAUAUAUAUAUAUAAAUAUAAAUAAAUAUAUAUAAAUAUAUAUAUAUAUAUAAAUACUUAUAUAAAAUAGAUAAGAAUGAGAUGAUGGAUUUCGAAUUCUCAUUUUAUAUAUAUAUUUUAAGGUUUUUUAAUUGUUAGAUCAAAAAACUGAAAACCAUCUAUCUUUAUUGUAUCUUUAAACUUUAAUUAUGUUUGAUCAUCUUCUACAUUCUUCUUCUGAUCAUCUUCUACAUUCUUCUUCUUACACUUUUUUUUUCUCUUUAUGAUUUUAAUUUGCUAAUUCACUAAUCAAUCAUAUUACAAUGAAAUCAUAGAUUUUGAAAUCUGAUGCAGAUGCAAACCUUUUCUACAUUAUUAAUAUAAUUUUUUUAAUUUACUAAUCCAAUCAUUUGGCAAAUUAUUAUCUUUAAAUAUAAUUGAAAUCAUUAAAUUGUAUAAUUAUUACAAUAUGCAUGAUUAUUUUGAUGCUUUUAAAUAAAAUAAUAUUUGAUUAUUAAUAAUACCAAAUUGUAAGAAUUAAUAACCAUUAACUAAGCAAAAUAUUUCUCAAUUACUAGUGAUAAAAUCAUCCUAAUACUUCAAUAAUUAUAUUGCUUUAGUGAUUUUAAAAAUAAAACCAAAUACUACAUAAAUUAUGACAAAAUGAGUUUUAAUCUUCUAAAUAAUUAAUAAUAGAUAUCUCCAAUGCACAAGUGAAGUUCAAGCAACUUGACCAAUUAUGUAGGUGAUAUUUCAUUUUUAAAUAAAUUUGAAGUGAUCUUUGGUGGUUUUUAAUUAGUACCAUAUAUCAAUAUGUGAAUGGGGGUAAUGAAUAGAAUAGAUGGCCAUUGCAGUUAAUGGGACAGCUACAAGAGACGCAUGCAAAAUGCAUUCAUUGAGUGGGACCAUUUUGCUAAGCUAUGCCUUGAUCAGACGCUUGGUUAUUUAUAAAACAGGACGAUCUUGGGCUACUGGCAGCACUAACUCCAACUAUACAUAAAGAUGAAGACAGUUAUUAAUAAUUACAAGGUUGAAUGACAAUGCAACAUUCCCAUAUUCCCAUUGGCCGAGACUCUAGAGUCUAGAUUCUUAAUUCCCAUGUUAUUGCAGCAAUCAUCAAAUUGGGUCAGCCCUUUCUUUUUAAUUAUCAAAUUCAAAUCUGAAAUGUUUUUCAACAAGCUGAAAAUUGAAACAAGAAUAUCGUCUUGGAGUAUAUAUUACUCCAUUUCCAGAAAAUGAAUAAACAACAUGGUCUCUACGUGGACGACCAUGUCUGGAAUGAAUGCCAUGCAUAAACAUUUUCUCUUCUUUUACCUGGUUAAUAUUUGACAUGAGAUUAUGACUCUCCACCAUUUUAUUCUUCGACACGCAAUAUUUGUCUGCAUGAACAUAAUUAAAAGAAAAACAUCAGAAAGGAAGAUUUUCAAUUGAUUCUUGAGACGUCGCAGACGAAAUUAAUUGUGAGAUAACUACUUGCACGUUACUGCACGUAUAUGUCUACGUCUAGCAGUAGUUUUCGGUUUCUUAUUAUCCAUCUUACGUAUAAAUACAUAUAUAUACAUAUAUUAUUGAAAACAAAAAGGCAAGAGAACGAAAUGAAGAUUGGGACAAACAAAAUCUAGCUAGCUAACCUCAGGAAACAACUAUACUUACAAGGAAAAGAAUGCUUCAAACUUGAUAUCAGAAGGGUUUACAGAAGCAAAACACAGGAAAGUUGUACUCAGAAAAAGGAGAUGUUACAUGUAUAUAUAUAGUAGAGCAAGAUUGGAGGGGAAUCUAAAUGCUUUAUUUGUGUAGUCGAGGAAGACUGAAGGACAGAUAUUUCAUAGGAAAAGCCCCAGGAACCCAUAAAUCUUUAUAAUUAUUGAUUUUAAUUAUUAGGUAAAGAAAAGCGGGAUUGAGAUCCUAUGCUUUACAGAAGAACACGCGGCUUCUGUGAGUGUCAGAGAAAUGCAACUGUCUUAUUUUUCAUUUUUUAAAACGUGAUUUAGCAUAAGUACAGAGAAAAGUGGUUUUCUUCUUCCCAUUGCUUUGAAAUAUUGAGAAUGAGAAACAAAGAGAUAAGGUAAGGGGGAGACUUGGCAGAACGAGAACCAAAUGAAAUUUGGAUGUAAUUUGUGAAUGAAAAUUGGUCUAGCCACGUUGAAAAGAUGCUUGGCUGAAUCUACACCACUUUUCGAUCCUAAUUACUUUUCUUUUUCAGUAAAAUCUGAGAAACAAGGCACAUGAUCGCUUCUGGGUCCAAUACUCCAAUCAUAGUCCAUGUCGGUACAUUCGUAGCACAAUGUAGAGUCACAUGCAGUAAAACAUUUUCAGGGAAAGAUACAUCUGCUUGACCUGAGAAAAUUGAGAAUCAAUAGCUUCCAUGUGCAGUGCUUAGACACAAAAGGACAUCCGGAUCCUCAGAGAAGGAUUUAUGCCCAAAUUCCUUCAAGCAAUGGGUCUAUGCGAAAUAUCGCUCAAAUUUAUUACAUACUAUUAUAUAUCAUACGGGAUAUUUUUAAAUUCAAUCGACACUCACUUCCCCUGGACAGUCUAAAUUUUGUGUUCUUAAGAAGAAACCAAACGAUGCAAUUAAAGCAACAUGGCUUGUUGCCCAUGAUGAUAUCAUUCACGUUUUUCUGAGUGAACAAAUGGGAAUUAUGAAGGCGCCAUUGGCCCCAAUAUAUUGUAACUAUUGUUACAAUCUACAAACCCACAUUCGAUUUUCAAUUCAGGUGUGUUGAGAAUAGAUUUGGUCAUUUGUUUCAUCGUGUCAUAUUUUGUGUUAAAUAUGAUUUUAAAUACAAUAUAAAUAAUUUUUAUACGAAUAUGACGUGAAUAUAUGAAUGAUACGAAUAAUUUAAAUAUGAAUAUAACACAUUUAUCAUACGUCUUAUAUAUGAUACCAUACAAUUAAUGCAGUUAAAUUAAUUUAUAUUCAACUGACACAAUCUGACAUGAUACAAUUAAUAUAAUUAUAUACAAAUAAUGCAAUUAUAUAUGAUUAAUUACUCAAAUACGACACGAUUAUCACAAUUAUAUAUUAACAAUAUGAUUGAAUACGAUUAAUCUAUUUAUUUAAACAAAAAAUAUAAUUUAAAUUAGUAUUUAAACAAAAAAUAUUUAAAAAUUAAAAAUUUAUAAUCUAUCUAAACACAAAAAAUGAUAUGAUAAAAAUGGUUAUUAAUUUAUUUUUUAAAUAAAUUAAAAUAGUUUUAAUUUUUUUUAUGUUAUAAAUAAUACCUUAUCUUAAGCAUAUUAUUACUGUUUAACACGAACACGAUAAGAAUAAUGUCGUGUCUUAGAUAUGAUUAAGACACAGAAACUAAAUUAUACUAAAUUCAUACAUGAUUUUUUUUGUAUAGUUUUCGUAUCAUAUUAUCAUGUAGUAUAAAAAAUUAUCAGGUUUAAUCGAGAAGGGAUAUAAAUGUAGAUGUUCUAAUUAUGCAUUUCAGGUCUGGUUCUGUAAUUGCUGUUUUUACAGUACCCCAAAAGGGGUGGUGGUUGCAGCAGCGUGUGAACAGGCUACGAGUCUUGAAAUUUGUUGAUCAAUUAUGAUUUAUGCCUAACAUAUAUAAGCCAAGUUGCAUAUAUAUGGAUUAUUUUGGCCUCAUAGUGCAUUAUUUGUGGUGCUCAUGUGUUGUGACUUAAAAUGAGUCACAGGGUGACAGGACUGCUGGAGAGGAUAAGGAGGGUGAGACAGUGGCCUUCCUGGAUCUUGUUCUGGAAUCUUACCUCCAAUGGUUUUGCAGGUACUGUGUUGGUGAUUACUCCCUUUUUCAUACGUCAAUACAGCCCUGCUUUUCCCAUCAAUUGGACAUGUAUACUUACACCUAUAUGGUUAAAAUUUGCACUUUGAACUUGGAUUUAAUUACAAAGCGAAUUUCUAGAGAAUAAGAGCUGUAACGUAGUUUUAUGAGCCAUGCUAUUUAGGGGAAAAAAGGCCUUAGAUUUUUUUAAUACAAAGGAAAUCUAACAAGAAAAAAAAUUGUAAAUGUGGAGAUUUGAACUCCUUACCUAUAUGAUAUUAUCUUUUAACUGUAAUUACGUGAAUUAACAAAAUUAAACCCUAGAUUCAAUACUUUAGAUUUUUUCAAGGAGGCAAUCUUUUUGCGCAUAAAUUUUGUGCUAGUGCACCAUUUGCUAGGCAUUUAUGUUGCUUCCACUAUUAAUUUUUCUUGAAGUGCCCAUAAUUGAAACAUACUUUGACAUAGUUAUAAAUUCAACUCUCUAAAUAUAUUUAAUAACUUAAAAAAUGUUGAACAUACUCGUAUUGAAUAUAUAUCAUAUAUAUGAUGAUCAUCUAAAUUUGAGUAACAUAUAUAUAUGUAUAUAGGAUAUAAAUAUAUUAUGAUUUCAACUUUCUAGUUAACUUGAAAGCACAAUAUCUGGGGAUAAGGUCCAGAAUUUUACUAGUAAUUAAGAAAGAAUGUGAUUCAUCUCCGGUAGGAGCAGCAAUUGUAGUUGUAAUGGGCCAAAGGUUGAGUUUUCUAAGGGAUACUUACCUAUACGUCCCAGACCAGGGAGGCAGCCUGAAACAUGUACAAAUAGCAUGAGUAGGCUGCCCUAACCUUUCAAGGACCAAAACAUGCAAAUAUAUGCGUUGAAUUAAAUCAUCUGAUGGAAAAGAAAAAGGAGGUGAUCAGUUUAUGCCUCCAUUAUCGUUAACCCAUCCACAUGGACGGUCGACGAAAGGAGGUGCAAAUUUGGUUUAUGAUCAUUUAGUGAUGAUGGCACUGUGUCAAAAAAAAUUUAUGUUAAAAAAAAAUUUAAAAGUAAAUAAAUUGUUCAAUCUCUCGUAUAAAAAUAAUAUAUAUCAUAUUUGAUAAUUUAAUAUAAAUAAUUAUAUUUGAGAUAAUUUUAAUAAAUAAUUAUUUAUAAAAUUUAAACUCAAAAUUUUUUUAUAAAAAAAAAUAAUUUUAAUCGAUUAAAUUAAUCAAUUAUUAAUAUUAUAUUAAUUUUUUUUUUUUAAGAGUUUGCUCAUUUUAAUUAAAAGGAAUCGAUCAGUCUCCCUCAAGACUUUGAUGAUCGUGGGGGAUGGUGCGGUCGAUGCGUGGUGGAAUGGGCUUAGCAGGUCAUGUCGUUGUUGGGAGCCCCCAUUGCCCCCCACCCUUUUCUUUUCUUUUCCUUUUCCUAUUGAUUGACAAAAUCUUGUACUGUGAUCAAUUAGACGCCCACUCAAUCAUUAAGAGUCCCCCGAGAUUCGACCUUUUCAAUUUUAAUAUAUAAAGUCAUGAUUUUGACACGUGGCGAAUUAGCAAACACGGGUUAGCCUUACCCCCUCCCAUGCCGACCUGCUCAGGUCAUGUGCAUUGCUGUGGUUUUCCUCCUUUCUUUUCUAGAACCAGUAUUGCAAUUUUAUUUUUGUCUGAGUUAUGACUUGAAAUUUUCUUUUUGUUGAUUCUUCAAAUGAAAUUACAAAUUAAAUUAAAAAUCAUAGUUAUAAUAACUAUUAUUAUAUUAAAUUAUAAAAAAUUAACAUAAAAUUAAAUUAAAUUUACACAUAAUAAAAUUUAAAUCUGAAAUUCCAUUAGUUUCUUUUUUUUUUUUGUUGUUGAACUUAAUCUGGUUAUAAUUUAGGUUAUAGUAAAUCUUAUAAUUUGUGACCGUUAGAAUGGUAGGAAAAGGUUCACAUCCACCUGAUAGACAAACAUUUGAAUAGAUCUCAAGCAUUGAAGUCUACUUUUAGCAUUAAAAAAAUGCAUAGUGUCACAUCAAAUGAAAGAUAUUUAUUCACGAUUUCAAAAUCAAAUCAUUUGAUAGUUAAGUUGAAGUGACAAUAUCAUAUCUGCAUAUAUAUAUUCAUAUAUACAGGGGAGCAAAACUCAAAAAUUAAUCGUACUACUAAAUAGUAUUAAUUGUAGGUAAUUUAUACGAGGAUAAAAUUUAUAUAAAAUUUUAUAAUUUAAGUUUUUGAAAGUUUUUAUUAGAAAUAAAUAAAUAAAUAUUUUAAUAUGAAAAUUAAUAAUAUGUAAAAAAAAAUUAUUUAAAAUUUAAAUUUAAAUAAUAUUUAUUUAACAAAAAAAUUAUAUCAAUAUUUUUAUUAAAAAUAUUUAUUUAAUAAAUAUAUCAAAUUUUAUAAUAAUUUUUAAAAUUUUACAUGCUUAACUAAUGUGAUGAAAUUUUUUAAUCUAUUAGUUUUAAUUUUUGAUUUUAAAUUUUAUUUACUUAUUUUUAAUAAAAAAUUUCAUAAAUUUUAUCUAUAAAAAUUCAUAUAAAUCUUUCUGUUUUAGGAAAGAAUUUGUCCAAAUGCAAUCUGAAUAUAAAUGAAUGGAUAUGAGAUUUCAUUUUAUGGGGCAAAACAAACAAAAAGGAGAUGAAAAUAUCUGCAGACAAGUCGACAAUUAUUGUCAUUGAUAAAACAUGUAGAAAAGUUUUAAAUUAAAAAAAAAAGAAGAAAGAAGAACAACAACAGCAGCUAAUCGUUAAUUCCAUGCUUGUAAUACUGGAAUUGUAGCAUAUGUCAUAUGCAAAUAAGCAGUACUUCAAUCCUCAUCCAGAAAGACACUGCUAGCUUAGCCUACCAAGCGUAAUACUUCAUCUUGAUCAUUAACUUUUAUUUUGGAACAAAAGAAAUGUGUGGCUACCAUGCAUUCAGAUGAUGUGUCAGCCACUUUGUUUUUCAUCCCCUGCUUCAACAUAUUUUGCCUGCAUGUACAUAUACUGUAGCAAUUAGAAUCAAGUAAUAGACUGAAGCCUUGUUCCAUUUUUUUAACACCAUUUUGUUUUUAUAUCGAGAUGUUAUAAUGGGCAGGAAUGAAGCGGAUAGAAUAAUUUUUUUUUAAUUUUUAAAAUUUAAAAUUAUAUAUAUUUAUAUAUUUAUAUUUAAUAAAUAUUUUAAAUUUAUUUUUUAUAUUUUUAUGAAUAUUUAAUGUAUAUGAAUAGUUUUUAUAUCCAUAAUUUUUUUAAAAAAUAAAAAAUUAAUUUAAAAUUUUUUUAUGUUGUAUAUUUAAAUAAGUUUUUUAACAAAUAUAUAUUUUUUAAUAAAAAAUAUAUUAAUUUUAAUUAAUUUAAAAUAAUAAUUUAUAUCAUUUAAUAAAAAAAUUGUAUUUAUUAAAUAUAUAUAAAUAUAUAUGUAAAAUAUGAAUAUAAAACUAAUAUUAUAUUAUUUAUUUUCAUCUCUAUACUUAUAAAAAUUUAAAAUCAUAUCAAAUUCUCAUCGUCACUUUUAUAUUUAUAAUACUUAUAAUAUAAUAUAUAUUUAUAUACUUAUUUUUAUUUUAAAAAAUUAAAUAAAAAAAAAUGGACAUUCAUAUUUUUACGGUUAUUAGUACGAAGAAUAAAUGAAUUGGAUUGCGAUGAGUAUCCAAACAUUUGAUUCACUCGAUGAAUAAUUCUGUGCUCACAUGACAAGAUUCGAAUCGUUCUUUCGCCAAAUUAAAAAUGAAAAAAGGGCUAGGAUAUGCGGAGUUGCGUCUGAGGUGACCCAAAAAUUUAGGCCCAUAUAACCCAAUUUUGUUUCCAGCUUAGGGCUUAAAGCCCAUAUGGGGAUCCAGUAACUGAAUAGAAGCCCAUAACCAGUAAAUUCGUUACUUUAAACGGUCAGACGAGGGGUACUUCUCUAAUUGCAUCAAAGAAGUCUGUUUUCAGACUAUAACUGCAAGAAAGGAAGACAUUUUGAAGGAAAUCAGCAAGAAAAAAAAAAAAAAAAUAGAAACACGAUGCAAACGAUGGCACCAUCGGGGGCGAUUCGGUGGUGCGCAGUCACAUCGGCACUCGUUCUAUCUCUAUUCAUCCAACCGUCGAUCGCCAUUUACUGCGACGAAGACAAUUGUUAUGAUCUCCUAGGGUUGGAUCCCUCACUUUCACCUCUCUUCCGUCCCGAAUUUAUCUCUCUCGUGUCACUUUUUUUUAGCUUCCACUAAUUUUAACUUUACCUUGAUUUUUUCUAGGGUUUCUCAAAAUGCUAAUGCGUCGGAGAUCAAGAAAGCUUACUACAAGCUCUCUUUGAAAUAGUAAGUUUUUGUUUUUAACUUCUUCAGUCUUUUUUUUUAUUUAAUUGUUAUCUUAAAGUUGAUUUUUUUUUCUGUUUAGUCAUCCGGAUAAGAAUCCAGAUCCGGAAUCGAGAAAGCUAUUUGUGAAAAUUGCCAAUGCUUAUGAGGUAACUAUAAUCAUUUCUCUUUCUAUUGAGUUUGAGAUUUGCUGAUUUGUUUUUCCCAGUAUUACUGUGAAACCUAGUGACUUUUUGUUACCCCCUAAAUAUGAAUAAAAGGUAUUUUUUUCUUUUGUUGCAGAUUUUGAAAGAUGAAGCCACGAGGGAGCAAUAUGAUUAUGCAAUUGUGCAUCCGGAGGAGGUGAAUUUUAAGUUUUUGUUCAAGACACUUUCUUAUUUUCUAAAUGUAUUAAGAGUUGUAAUAUGUAAAAUGUGAUUUCAUGUGGCUUUGUCACUCUUGUUAUUAUCAUGGAUCAUUUGAUUUCACCUCAGUUGACCUUGUUUAUUACUCUGUAAAAUUACUGAUAAUCAUCAAAUUUCUGUUCCAUUUAGGUAUUUUACAAUACAGCUCGCUACUAUCGUGCAUAUUACGGUCACAAAACGGUGAGAAUUAUUUCAGUAUUUAUGUGGUUAUUAAGUAUUCUUUCUGGUUCAGCAUAGGGGUUCUGGAUUUACUUGUUUCUUACCAUUUCAUAUCCAUGCUUUCUAGGAUCCUCGUGCUGUCUUGGUUGGUGUUCUUCUUAUUCUUUCAGCAUUCCAAUAUCUAAAUCGGUGGACAAGGUAUAAUCAGGUGAGUUACCAUCAAGUACUGUGUAAAUGUUGUUAUUUUUGAAUGUCCAUGUCCCUUGCUGGACGUGCUGAAUAUUGGUAGAUAUUAUCACUUAGAAGACUUAACUUUUGCAAUGUGACUUCUUAGAAUAUUACAAUAGCACUUGUCAUGACUUCAAAAUAUAUACUAACCACUCAAGCUUAGCUUACUGCUUGUAACCCCUCCAAUGGAAAGUCAACUUCAAAGAUUCAACUCUACUCUCCUCUUCUCAGCAUUGUCCAAAUGCACAAAAAUGAAAAAGUUCAAUCAGCAUACUGCCAGUUAUGAUAAUAAAACAGCAUCAUAAGAGAAUUUUGCAGCAUAACUUAUAUAAGAUGUGUUACUUAUUUGACACAUAAAAAUGCUUAAGUUUCCCUUUAUUUUACUCUCUUUUUUUUCUCCUUUCCUUUUUCUGGAUUCAGGCUGUAGAUAUGGUCAAGAAAACACCUGCUUACAAAAACAGAUUGCGGGCGUUGGAACUUGAACACAAUGGAGGAACCACAAAUAAGAAGAAGAGUAACAGGCAAAUGGACAAGUAUACUGCUAUGACUUGUUUGAUUUUUUACCCAUAAAAUUAGACUCCAAUGUUGUGGUUUUGUUCGCAUUAACCACACAUAGAGCAUGGUGCACAUGCCAUCCUUUAAUCCCCUUUGUGCAUGUUUUCUUUUUAACUAAAAAACAAUGUGACCCAUAUUUUAUGGCAGGAAAAAGGAGGAAGAUCUCAGCAAAGAGCUUGAGCUGGACAUUAAGGGAGCUGAAAAGCCCUCCAUCUGGGAAUUAGUUGGUGUCCGUUUUAUUCUCCUCCCCUACACUAUUGGCAAGGUUAGAAUACCAGCUAUUAAGCUAAGAAUAACUGCGAUUUCAGGAUAAGAUGAGUGAAUACCAAAUAUGUUGGAUAUAGCUGAGUCUUUGAUUCUUCUGUUGUUGCAUUGACAAAAAAUGUUUGACUUAGAUUUCAACCUUAGUUUUCAGACUGGAAUUGCUUCCUGAUUAAAUUUCUGUCUCUCCAGCUAUUGUUGUGGCAUGGCUGUUGGUUCUGGAGGUACAACGUGAAACAAGCUCCAUAUUCUUGGGAAGAUGCGGCUUACUUGACUAGAAACUCCCUCAGAGUGCCCCUUGAUGCAUGGCUAAACAUUGGUAACUAUGAUUAAGUUCCUCAAUUUUGUAUAAAUGCAAAUACACUUUUUUAGGGAUUUAACUUUAGAUUUGAUGGCGGCCAAGAAAAAAAAAACUUGAGGUUUGAUAGAUGAUAUAAUCAUAGAAUGGCUUAUCGAGGUAGUCAUAUGUGCUGACCAACAUUGUAAUUUCUAAGUUUUUAUUGUUAUACUACCUUGUUAGAUGAAAUACUUCAUAUCAUCUAAGAUUUGCUUAUUACUGACAACUCUAUGGCUGCAACAUCAUCUUGUAGUACCUUUCCAUCAGCGGCAUGGCAUGGAUCGUUCCUUGUAAGGCUUGAGUCAAGGCUUCUGGGAGCUACCGCAUAUGCUUCUCAUAUGCUGGUAUUAUCCAUUUGUCUUCAGUUAGUAUUUUAAUUAAAUCUUGUUUGUGUUUGCUAGAUGAAUCAACCAAGGAGGAUCUUAUUCAGAGACGAUUAUGGAUUAAAUCCAACUUAGAGAGCUACCUAGCAGAAAUGCGAAAAGAAUACAAGCGCAGAAGAUAGGAAGAGUUUUUUUUUUUUUUUUUGGUCUGGAAGGUAGGAAGAUUUAUUGCUUGGUUACUAAAGAUUAUUUGCUGAAACUUAAAAAACAUACAAGAAAAUAACCAUGUUUCACUAGUAUAGAUUAUUUUGGUUACAUUUAUAAAUGAAGGCAGAGAAGACCAUUGUUGCUGAUUACCAAGUUUUGAUACGGAACAUCCAAAUCUAAUACCUGUAGCAGAGAACUGAACGUAUCAUUUUGUAUCUUUCCAUAUAUAAACUCUAGUUUUAGAUGACUUUUUUUUGUUGUCAUACAGUCAUAAUCCAGUUAUUGCUGGUCAGCGAUAUUCAUAUAUGGAUCAUGCAACUCGUAUCACUGAUGGUAAUUUUAUUCUCUUAUCAUUCUUGGCGAACCUGCUGGGAUAUCAGUUGCUUCGCACAUUCCUACUUCACAGUAAUUGUGAUUCUUGAAGUGACUGCAUUUGUUGAUUGUGAUUCUUAGCGGAAUGCAACUGGACAGGGAAUAAAUCAGCUUGCCGAAUUACGCAUGUAACGAUGCAAGUUAGACGUUAAAAGUGUUUAACCAAUUGGACCGCACCUAGCUUUGGUUUAGCUUGGAUUAAUGUUCGAAAAGAAAGGAAUAGACGAUGAGCCGAAGGGGCUUGAUUUGAUCCACGAAAUUAAAAAAUUUGAAGCACGAAGCGGUGCAAUGCCUCGUGUCACACCCCGAGCGCAUACCCGUACGCACGAUUUGUUAGGCUUAAAUCCCCGGUCUAAGCCCAUGACAGUUGGACUCUAUAGUAGUACUUCUAAUCUUCGUAAUGUUGAUAAAACGCAGCGUCGUAUCGCAUCCCAUCAGAUCUUCUCCCACCAGAGCGAAAACUGGCGACGCCCAUCAGUGCGCAAAUUCUAAAACUAAAGCUUUUAUUCUCUCCUUUACUUUACGAAUCCCGAUUUUACAUUUCCAUCUCCAUCACUCCGGUCCCUUCUUUCCAAUUUCAUGCACCAUACGCCACUUCCUCACCCAUGCCUCGCUCUCAGGUUGGUACUCUUUAAAAAAUUUUCUUUCUUUUUUUAUUUAAAUUUCAUCGCUUAUGGUCCAUUUUAUUUGUUGACAGAUUGGAUGCUUGGUUCAUGUAAAUAAGAAUGUUGAAGAAGCCACUUCACUCCCCAAGAUCUCACUCUUUUAUGGCCCCAAUUUUAUCGGCCGCAAUGAUGUUUCUAUUCCCGAUAAGAGACUCAGCCGCAAACAGAUUGCUUUAACUACCUCCCCUGACGGCUCCGCAGAUUUACUCGUCGUAAAUUCCAUUAUUUUAUUAGUAAUUUCUUUUUUUUUUUUCCUUUCUCUCUCUUUUGUAGAUCGAUUGUUUAGUGGUGGAAUUUUAUAGGAGGGGACAAAUCCAGUGGUUGUUAGGGGGAUGUUAUUCUUGCAGUCCUCUCAAAUUACAUGGUAGAUGUUGAUUGGUUAAUGUCAGGUGAAUUCUCAUAACUUGUAUGAUUUCAUCUGUUAUUUAGUUCCUCAAGUAACAUGGUGCAAGGACUUUUGAUUAUGUUGUCUGCUAUUCUUUUAUGUGCAUAUCAUUUUGGUGUAGCUCUUGUUGUUUGAUUACGAAACCUGUUUUUUUUCUUUUUUUUAUACUGCUUUGAUGCAUCUAAAACCGUUAUUUCUACCUCUUGCCUUAUGUAGCAUGUCUGAAACUUGCAAAAAUUCCCCAUGUAUUUGUUAUUCAUGGGGAGGGUGACAGCAGGCUGGAUCAUAUGAAGGUCAGCUACAGAUGUACAUAUUCCCUUUUUUCUAUGGAAGCUCUACUUAUAGCUUGUGGAUUUUCACAUUAUCUACUGCUGCUCAUACAGAGAACAAGCCUUCCAAUUGGAUUCUGCACAAGCCACCUUUACCCAUUUCAUUUGGGACACAUCAUUCGAAGGCGAUGCUCCUUGUCUAUCCUCAAGGAGUGAGGGUUACUGUUCAUACAGCAAACUUGAUAUAUGUUGACUGGAAUAAUAAAAGUCAAGGUUUAUGGAUGCAAGAUUUCCCUUGGAAAGAUCAGAAUAACUCAAAGAAAGGAUGUGGAUUAGAAAAUGACUUGUUUGACUAUCUCAGCACAUUGAAGGUACCAAAAUUUAGUACGUUCUGCGGAUCUGCUCUUAAAUUGCAUGUGAAAAACACUUGCAUCUUUCAUGACCUGUUCAGAGAAUUUAAAACUUUCUCCCUUUCAUAAAAGUUUUAUGUGAUUUGAACUGAACCUUAGAUAUUAUAAGGGACAACAGCCAAUCAUUCUUUUCAUAUGUUUGGUUUACUAAUCAAGCUUACUAAUAACUGUUUCAUAUGCCUUUGAUUUCUGAAAUUUUUACCGUGGCCUGAGUUCACUGCUAAUUUACCAGCUUUGGGAAGCUUCAACAUCAAUUCCUCCUUCUUCAAGAAGUUUGAUUAUAGCAAUGCAAGGGUAUAAUUUUAGUUGUUUGGUUAAUAUUUUGAAGUGUUAUUUCAUAUUUACCUGGAGGAAUAAUGUUACAGAUGGAACCCAUUUUGUUUCUAGCUCAUACUUAUGUGGGAGCAUAUAAAUAUUUGAUAAUUUUCAGAUCCAACUAAUUGCAUCUGUCCCUGGAUAUCAUACAGGUUCCAAUCUGAAAAAUUAGGGACAUAUGAAGCUGCGUACUGUUCUUCAUGAGUGUGUUUUCAAUAGUUUCAGAGAUCGCCUCUAGUUUAUCAGGUAUUGUUGGACAUCUAGUCAUGAAUAAUCAUGCUGUGAUUUAGGGUGAAUAUUAGUCACUCAGUUCUCUGAGGGAUUUGGUGACAGAUUUAAAUGAAAUUUCGAUUAAUUAUUGGACUUUAUUUUCUAUGAUAUGUCCCCUCAUGUGAGGUUCUGCACUUGGUCAUACCAUUCAUAUCUUCUGUACCAAUCUUUCUGUAUAGAUUAAGAGAAGUGGUUGUAUAGAUUUUGCUUUCACUGAUGGAACUUUUUCAUGUUUGACCUACUGUAGUUCUCCUCCCUUGGUUUAUUGGACGAGAUAUGGAUGGUCGAGCUAGCAUCCUCAAUGUCAUCAGGUUACUCAGAAGAUAAAACCCCGCUUGGUUUGGGGGGGCCAUCAAUAAUAUGGCCCAGUGUGGAAGAUGUCAGAUGCUCCUUAGAGGUAUUAUCAAGUAGGUUUUUCCUGUUAGCCUCUUAUCCUUACCAUCAUUAACAUAUUGCAUAGUCAUCCUCUGACUACUGUCGGUUAUGAACUUAUUUUUGCAUCCCAUCUAUUGCCUAAUGGCUCUUUAAAUGCAUAUAAUCAGUUCGGUGUAAAACCAAUUCACUCCAAAAAACCUUUUGUCCUCUCCAACUUGAUUUUGGUGGCUUGGUGCUCUAUAAUUUUAAGAGAUUAGCGACUACUGUUAAUGCCAUCCCAAAUGAUAAACUGCAUGUUUCUCAGUGUUAGCAUUAUCUUUUAGGCCUUAAACUAACUUGUUAGUGGUACGAGUAGAUAUUGAAUUAAAACAGUAUUUUUUAUCAAGUAAAGUUCGUUUUAUAUAUGUUAUUCUACCUUGUUCUAUAGGGUUAUGCAGCUGGAAAUGCGAUUCCAAGUCCACUUAAGAAUGUGGAAAAAGGAUUCUUGAAAAAGUAUUGGGCAAAGUGGAAGGCAAGCCAUACUGGUCGCUGGUAUAUCUCUUUAAUACCUGGUGAAAGUUUGAGCUACAAAAUAUCAAUUAGCAAUGUGUGGGUCUUAAGAUUUUGUUUUUGGUGUUUCAGUCGUGCAAGGCCACAUAUCAAGACAUACACCCACUACAAGAGACAAAAACUGGCGUAAGAAUUCAUUUGAGCCUAUAUAUCAUGCUUUUGGAAGCUUUUAAUUUUGAACAUUUGGAUUUUCUCCACUACACCUUCCCCCCCCCCCCCCCCAAUCAAGAAAAAGAGGGUGGGGUUCCCUUCUCUCAUGCUGGUUUCUGAAACUUUCUUCCCUGGAUGCAGUUGGUUCUUGUUAACUUCAGCAAAUCUUAGCAAAGCUGCGUGGGGAGCUCUUCAGAAGAACAAUUCUCAGUUGAUGAUCCGUUCUUUUGAGGUAUAUACAUCUGACUUCAUGUCUGAAAGCUCAGCUAAGAUUUAUAUGUCAUUGAGUAGAUAAUGAAACCAAAACCAAUGGAAAGCACUGCAUGUCCCAAGCUUUCAAGAAUGUAGAUAUUCAACAAAUGAAUGCCUACAUUUGUUUUUAGUUUUUUACUUUUUGUAUGAUCUUCUCAUUGUUUGAUCCUCCCUGUCUUUUGUGCUAACUAAGCAUUGAUGGUAUGUUUUUAUGCCUUUCUAUAAAUACUUUCUAGCUGGGUGUGCUGUUUUUACCCUCUUAUGUCAAAGAAGAGAGUGGCGAGUUUUCUUGUACGGGUGAUGGAGGUUCAUCAAAUGUAAUGGCUACUUCUGAUUCAAUAGCAUUUAUCUAAUGUUGGCUGAAUUAGCUGGGAAAAUAAUGUGAUGAUGAAAAAGUCGUAGCCGUUGUGUGAAUCAGGCUAUUUCUAAUAGGAAAUUCUGAAGUAACAAAAACGAAGUUAGUUACUCUUGCUUGGGAAGGAAGCAAGACAUCUAAAGUGAUUCCGUUGCCUGUGCCAUAUGAACUUCCUACUGAGCCAUACUCCUCUGAAGGUCAUGAAGCUUUAGUCUAUCUUGCGCCUUCAAUUUAUAUAAACUGAAUUUCACGAUUCAUCUAACUUUUUUCUAUCUUAUUUGCGGAUGUCCCAUGGUGUUGGGACCGGAGAUACAAUAAAAAGGAUGUUUACGGUCAAGUUUGGCCUCGGCAAGGUCAAUUGUAGUGUUUUUAGAGUGAACUUGGUUGCGGCAUUUGGAAAAGUGAUUUCAUUUCAAAUAAGAUUUUUAAAAAUUUAAAAAUGAAUUUACUUGUUUGGGUAAAAAUAAGAGAUAAAUUUUAAAUUUAGAUGAAAUUUUAAUAGAGAAUUUGAGGUACUAAAAUUUUCUUUUGAAAGGUUAUCAGAAAAUUUAAAAAAAAAAGAAAUUGAAGGUGAUAUGAUUUAAAAUUUUAAUAAAAGUCAUAUUAGUAUAAUAAAAUUAAAAAUAUAUUUUUUGUAUUGAUACAAAUUAUAAUAUAUAGUACUUGAAUAAAAUAUGAAACAAGCAUACGAAUUAUUAAGAUAUUAUAUAAUAUAAAGAGAAAAAUUUUUAGGUCUACUAAGAAGUUUUUAAAAAAUCUUCUUAAUCUUUCGACUUUUGUUGCACAUGACUCGGUACAAAACUCAAAAAGACAAAAUAUCAUUUUAUUUGACUUUAAUAUAUAUAUUUAUUUGUUUAUAUUAUUAAUAAUAUUUAUAUAUUUAUACAAUUCUAAUGAUAUUUAUAUUGUAUAUUUUAUUUAUACAUAUAUUUUUUAUUUUUAAUAGUAUUAUUUUUUUUAUAAUUAAUUUUUUAUCUCAUCAAAUUUCAAUGGUUAAAUUAUUUUUCAAAAAAUAUAUAUCCAAACAAAAUAACAACAAAUUUAAGCAUUUUUAAAUGAUGUAUUUUAAAAUGUUUUUGUUUUAAAUUUCUGUAAAACUUCAAAAUUUUUUACACCAACAAAUACUUCAAAGAAUCUUGAUUUUUUUAUGUUGCAUUUUGCAUAUGGUAAAUCCUAAAAUCCUAAAAUUUACAAGAUUUUGAUAUGAUAUUAUUAUUACGAAUUAAUACUCAAGUUAAAUGAGGAUAUAUUAAUAAGACAUGGUAUCAACAUUAAUUGAAAUUAUUCUUAGUAAUUCAGUCUUCAAAAAAUUUAUGAUUAUUUUUUAAAAUAAAUAAAAAUUAUGAUUAUUACGAUACCAUGACCAUAUCAAAGUUUCGUGAUUGUUUCUCUAGAAACAAGGCCAUGUAUAAUAUAAUGUUAUAGUCCCUAGAUUUUACAAACAAGAUUCUUUAUUAUUGAACGACAUCAUCCAUUUUGCUAACCAUAUGCUUUAAGCAAAGAACAAAAAAAGUGGUGACAAUAACCUCAAUCUCUCUAAUCAAAGUAAUCAAGGAGUCAUAAUAAUAAUCAAAGAUUUAGUAGAAAAAUCCGCCAAUAGUGAUUACAAUCAGCUUGGACUUUAAAAAGAAAAUCCGAUUCUUUUUUAAGAGCGUAUCACAUUUUUAAAUCUUUCAAUAUCUAGAGAAACAAAUGACUAGUCACCAUCUAAAUCGGCCUCACAGUUAGAAUAUAUCGGAUAUGGCUGUUGAUAGCAACAAAUUAUUUUCAUAAAUCAACCUCCUCCAAAUACACUCUCUCACAAAAACAAAGGAAAAAAAAAAAAAAAAAAACCAUCGAUCCCCAACCUUAAUUUCACCUUCAAGUCUUCCAUCUUUUCAAAUGGAUGUCAUCUUUGAAACCCAGAAAGACAGGCCUUUUUCCAUUGAAGUUGGUUUCUUUGAUACUGUCCUGGAAAUCAAAGAAAAGGUACAGAAAUACCAGGGAAUACCUAUACCUAGCCAAACUCUUGUCUUCAAUGGCCAAGUUCUCCAAGAUGAGCGAGAUGUUAAGUUUUGUGAAAUCCUCCAAAACUCCCGCAUUCAAAUCCUCGUAGCCCCCGAACCCGAUAAACCUCAAGCUAAUAUUGAACAAUCUUCCCCAUCCAAGAAAAUCCAACUCAACAUCAAUAUACCAUCCUCCUCCAAAGCCUCCGUUCCUCUUGAAAUGGAUGUGAACGACACUGUUUUAAGAUUAAAAGAAAAGAUUCAUGAGAUGGAACCUGUUCCUGUCAACAGGUUAGUAGUUCAAUCGAGCGGCUCAGAGUUACAAGACCAUCGAUCAUUACGCGACUAUGAGCUAAUGGAUAAUAGUGAGAUUGAUGUAAAUAUUAAGCCAUCGCCAACAGGUUCUGGGACAGGAUCAGCAGGGGCGGCAACAACGGGUUCCAAAAGGCUGAAGCUGAUGGUGUUGACCACGUGUGGGACGAAGAAGAUACCGGUUGAAGUGAAUGCAUCAGAUAAUGUGGGAGAGCUGAGAAAAGAACUGCAGAAGUUGCACCAAAGGCUUCAAUUUCAUCUCCCGCAAGAAGGUUAUUUUUUCAUAUAUAAACAGAAUGUGAUGGACGAUGAUCGAUCGUUUAGGUGGCACCAAGUUGCCCAAGGUGAGACAAUUGAGAUCUUUAAUGGAAGUGUUACUGGAGGAUCAUGAAACUUUUUCAUGUUUUCUUUGUUAAUUAGUCCUAGAAUUUUCAAUGCUAUUUUAACCUAGCUAUAACAUCUGCGGUACUUAUUAAGGCCUUUUUAAUUCUCUUUGUUGAAAUUUUGUAGCACUAUGGGCCUAAGGCAAGAUGUUAUCCGUAAUUUUAUCCCUCCUUCCUUAUAUUUAUUUUAAAUCUUAAUGUUAUGUUAGGUGUACAAGAUAAUAGAUAAAAUAGUAUAAUAAUUAUUUUAUAUUAUAUUUGAUUUAUAUUUAAUUAAAAAAUAUGAUUAUAAGAAAGAUUAUAUCCUUUUUGGUAUAAGAUAAUUUCAUCCUUUUAAAGUGAAGAGGACUAUUUUUAAUUUAUAGAAUUAAACAUAGAUGUUUUAUUAUAUAUUUAAAAAUUACAUUAAUAAUUUAAUUUUUAUAAACCUUAAAAAAAAUAAUUUUAACUAAUAAAUAAAUUAUGUAUCUUAAUCUUUGCACGCAUCAAACAUAAGAUAACAUAACAUUAUUUAAUUUAAUCAUAUUAAUAAUAUUAUUUUAUUCUAUCUUAUCAUAAUUUUGUAUGUCAAACAUGACUUAAAUUGAUAAUAGAGACCGGAAAUGAUAAAAUUUUCAUCAAAACAGAUAUUUGCCAAUGAAUAAAAAGCACAAUUAUCACUAAAGUAGCAUUGACAUAAUUAGUAAUUACAAAAUUUUCUCAUAUUUUAAAAAUUAAAAAAUCACUCUCUAAUUUUUGAGCAACCAAAAAGUGCGUAAAAGAAUUGAUACCACUGGCAUGGGCAAGCAGUUUAUAACAUGAAAUGAGAAAUGUGAAAUAAUAUAUUUUGCUCCUUUUCAUCCACUGCCAAAUCUUUAUUUUAUUUCUAAUGUGGACUUCAAACUUGUUUGCCCAAACCGGAAAAGGGACUGAUUGAGAUUCGUUUGGCUAAAACCACAUAAAUCGGAUGUGGGUCGGGGUUUGGAAAACAGCCUGUAAUUUAGGUCCAAAUGGAGAUGUGUACCUCAAAUCUAGUUUAAAACCCAAUCCAUUAGCAAACAUGGGCAUCAAGUAAAAUCAAGAGCCCAAAAUUUGACCAUUAGCCCAUAAAACUUUGUUCUUUAUUUAACAUUUUUAUAGUUUUUUUUUUUUUCUCUUAUCAGUUAUUGUAACUAAAUCAGAGGUCAAGGGACAGUAGAAAGCAAACAAAAUUUCUUUGGAUUUUGCUCUUACUGCACUUGUCAAGGCUAAUUAAACUAUUAUUUAUAGUAAUAUUUUGUAAUAGUUGAUGAUUAAAAGAAAGAGGGUUUUGGAAACGGAAACUCUUUAAAAUUAUCGUAUUGGGUAAAAAUUUGAUAUAUUAAACAUUACUUAAAAAUUUCUUUUUGGGACGGUUCAAUGAAUAUGAGACGCAGUAAGAGCCUCACGUUUAAAAAUUGAUCCUUAAAUUUGUUGGAAACAACUUUGCUCCACCGACUCACAUUAUUAUAAUCCUGAAAUACCGCCCAAGUUGCAAAUAAAAAUAAAAUCCCUGUGGGCCCAACGACAAUGACUACCCCAGGCCCAUUUAAUUCCAACGGGACGGAUUCCGUCAAUAACGACGCUCCACCCUCCCUGUCCGUCCGUCAUUCGUCCCAUCAACCAAAGACGGUCAACUAACACCGUUAAACAAAAAGACUAACGGCAGUGAGCCCCACCGCUUUACCCUAUCAUUCUAGAAUUCCUAAUUCCUCUGCCCACUGAAUAAACAAUCGUUACCGUGUCAAUUACGGCAAAAGCCACCUCAGUCUUACGCGUUAAAAUUUCAUUGGCUCGUCACUGCAGGAGUUUUCCUAUAAAUUAAUCCCUCCAAACGCUUUCUUUUCGCAUCCCAAGCGAUUUGAUUUAUUUGGUUUUAUUCUCAUCGAUUUUCUCUUCAGGCGAUCAAGAUGCAGAUCUUCGUCAAAACACUCACCGGUAAGACGAUCACCCUCGAAGUGGAGAGUUCCGACACGAUCGAUAACGUGAAGGCGAAAAUUCAAGACAAGGAAGGAAUACCACCAGACCAGCAGCGUCUCAUCUUCGCCGGAAAACAGCUCGAAGACGGCCGAACCUUGGCCGAUUACAACAUUCAAAAGGAGUCAACUCUCCACCUCGUCCUCCGUCUACGUGGCGGUAUGCAAAUCUUCGUCAAAACCCUAACUGGGAAAACAAUAACCUUGGAAGUCGAAAGCUCUGACACAAUCGACAACGUCAAGGCGAAGAUCCAAGACAAAGAAGGAAUUCCACCAGACCAGCAGAGG
RNAcentral lists this long non-coding RNA (47003 nucleotides) under Durio zibethinus. Its description in RNAcentral is "long non-coding RNA (DZIB_LNC001269)". The record is from RNAcentral. Lineage: Eukaryota; Viridiplantae; Streptophyta; Magnoliopsida; Malvales; Malvaceae.